This 53381-nucleotide long non-coding RNA is filed under the name Triticum aestivum (bread wheat). RNAcentral's name for it is "long non-coding RNA (TAES_LNC004981)". The stretch from base 27572 to 27706 matches the Rfam family "MIR1120/MIR1122 microRNA precursor family". The record is from RNAcentral. Lineage: Eukaryota; Viridiplantae; Streptophyta; Magnoliopsida; Poales; Poaceae.
ACGGGGAUCUGCAUGAGUUUUUGUGAAGAAAAUGGGUGUGUUUUAACCUCCGGAAUGAACUCUGGUUGAAGCUCUUAGGAUUGAGCAAUAAUGAAUGCCGCGCAUGUUUUAUGUGAACGGAACGGAUAUGUACCCUCAAACUUGCUCCAAUUUUGGUCCUUGUGGAUAUGUACCUGAUUCGGCCUGAACCUUUUGGAAGUGUAAUACUAGUUUUUGGCGCAUCAUCUUCGCCUUUCUUGCGUUAGUUUACUCUCUUUGUUUCAGAAUGCAUGCUUCUGAGAAGUGUUGACCUGUUUUCAUCUUUGCUUGGUAUUCUCAAAAUCUCUUUUACUCUUAAAGAAACCCGCUUCUGUUGUCACUGAUGGGGCGUCCCUAGGGGGCUGAAUCCACUGUUUUGACCAUUUUUCUAAACUUAGCAUGAUAAGCAUGAUGUUUUGUAAAAUUUUCAUGAUCCGACCCUUUUCCUACCGCCCUUGGUUAAUGGUGGUAGGAUAUAACUGCCUACCGCGGAACCGCCCUUGGUUAAUGGUGGUAGGAUAUAACUGCCUACUGCGGAACCGCCCUUGGUUAAUGUUUAAGUGGAAGAGCGCAUUCUUCUGGGUUGGGCUGCCGCCACCCUUCAUCAACCUCACCGGCAGCAGAAACGACGGGAAGGGGAAGGGCAACGUGCAGGAGUGUGUUCUUUUUUAUGUUUUAUUAAUGUUUAAGUGGAUUUUGGCUCGCGGUUGACCAGUUAUUAAUGUUUAAUUAUGUUUAGUUUGGCCGCAAUGUUUUGAAAUGAUUUUUUUGUGGACCCGGGAAAAUAGAUCCGCCACUUGCUGGGUGCACUGGCCAAUAUAAACCAAAAGGCAGACACACCCAUCCACUCGGCUGACUCAAACGGGCAAAAUACGAGCCUCUCUGGAUUGUCGCGUUACCACUGUAUUCUGAUUCUUAUCUCUUAUGACUCUUCAAGAACUACACCCCUUCAAAGUUACCACUGUAUUUUGUACAUAAGUUAUAAGGUUUUCGAUGUGUAAAAUACCGCGGUACUUACACAUAAGUUAGCAGGGUAUAUGUACAUUAACCUCCCCCGGUCAAAGUUACCAUGGGGGGUUGUUCAUGAGUUACCGGGUCUACAGUUCAUAUAUUAUCAUGGUACUUGCACCUAAAAACUGGGUGUGUUUCGGUAGCUUUUCCCAUAGGUCAAAAAUUAUCACGAUGUUUUUGCGUAACUUAUCACGCCUAUAGCACGUGUGCCCCUCAUGAGACUAAACAUUAUGUGACUUCCUCGUGGCACGCCAUGUGUUGCAUUCAUCCAAGAGGCUCACGCGCGAGGCGAGUGUAUGUUUUUAACAACUUUUUUUCCUUUGGUAAAAAAGUUACCAUCAUGUUUAUAUUGCAAGUUAUCGGUUAUGCGAUGCUUAUAUUAUCAUGUUAUUUACACNNNNNNNNNNNNNNNNNNNNNNNNNNNNNNNNNNNNNNNNNNNNNNNNNNNNNNNNNNNNNNNNNNNNNNNNNNNNNNNNNNNNNNNNNNNNNNNNNNNNAACUACACCCCUUCAAAGUUACCACUGUAUUUUGUACAUAAGUUAUAAGGUUUUCGAUGUGUAAAAUACCGCGGUACUUACACAUAAGUUAGCAGGGUAUAUGUACAUUAACCUCCCCCGGUCAAAGUUACCAUGGGGGGUUGUUCAUGAGUUACCGGGUCUACAGUUCAUAUAUUAUCAUGGUACUUGCACCUAAAAACUGGGUGUGUUUCGGUAGCUUUUCCCAUAGGUCAAAAAUUAUCACGAUGUUUUUGCGUAACUUAUCACGCCUAUAGCACGUGUGCCCCUCAUGAGACUAAACAUUAUGUGACUUCCUCGUGGCACGCCAUGUGUUGCAUUCAUCCAAGAGGCUCACGCGCGAGGCGAGUGUAUGUUUUUAACAACUUUUUUUCCUUUGGUAAAAAAGUUACCAUCAUGUUUAUAUUGCAAGUUAUCGGUUAUGCGAUGCUUAUAUUAUCAUGUUAUUUACACAAAAAAUAUUGGGGAUGUUUUGUACAACUUUUUUCUGGGACAAAAAGUUAUCAUGGUGAUUCUAGGUAACUUAUCAGGCCCGUAGUGCUUAAAAUAUCAUGCUAUUUACACAAAAUUUAUGAGGAGUAUGUUUCAGCAACAAAUUCCCCUCACAGGUCAAAAAUUUAUCAUGGUGUUUAGUUAUCGCAGUGCAUAUGUUUUCAUGCUAUUUACACAUAAAAAUGCCAGAGGAGGGAGGUAUACUACCGUGCUAUUUACACAGAAGAUACCGGAGUAUCUUUAAAAAAAUUACCCUACGGUCAAAGUUAUCAUGGUGUUUCUACCUCAGUUAUCAGAUGUGCGCUGCGUAUAUUACCAUCUCUUUACACGUAAAUUAUCGGGUAUCUUUUCACAUUUGUCUUUCCAAUGGUUAAAGUUACCAUGAUGUUUAUAUCUAAAUUAUCAGUUCUAUGGCGUGAAUGUUAUCGUGCUAUUUACAGAAAUUACCGGGGGGCGGGUUCAACAAAUUUAUUCCCAAUGAUCAAAGUUACCAUGAUGCUUGAAACAAAAAGUUUUUCAGUGCUAACAUAUUAAAGGCAAAAACAUGUCAAAAAUAGUAUUUCCCUUAACUUGUUCAACAAUGAGUGUCAUAGAUGAGGUGGUUAGUUCCCUUUGUUGAUUACUUGCAGACCAGAGAUCAAAUCCUAGUACAAGCAUUAUUUUUUCCAAAAAUCGGAAAGGCGCGUGGAGCCAUAAUUGACAAUUAAAAUUAGGAAGGCACGAGCGGAUGCGUGGAGCCAUAAUUUCUGCCACACGGUUGCCAUAUACAUAUUUCGAUAAAUUUGAAUGAUUGCAAGUUUCUAAAGGAAAACAAUGGUAAAUGACAAACGCAAUAAACAUAAUAGAUAUCUCAUAUAUGUAUUUUUUUGAGGGAAUCUCAUAUAUGUUUUGUUGAAGUAGCAGGCGCGGAAUUAAAAUAUUAAUUCUUAUAUAGCACUGAGAUAUCUAAUGGCCCUAGUUUUGCUCACACUAAUUGUUGUAUUUAGAUUUUCCAGAAUCACUUGGUCAGAGAUCAUGGAAGCAUUGAUCUUGAAUAAUUAAAGAGAAAUCCCACCUGACUCAGUAAAGCAAGAUACUCGGUAUCUAUCCUUGAACUUCUGCUGGUAACAUUUUCUAGUGCUUGGUUCAAGAUCAGGCGCAUCAUAGUUGAACUUCAAAAUGAUGUUUAACUCAAACCAGAAAUAAGUUCGAGGUGUAAAUAUUCCUUUAAGCCGAACAUUGCCUUUCUUUGCAUAAUUUUCUGCAAACUACAUCUUGAAAAAAUUAACGGAACUCUUCCUAAUCCAACAGACACCAAACUACAUAAAUGAGCCCCCCAAAAGAAGCAUGGAAAUGAGCAAUUGUACAGUAGUAGAUUUAAUCCUUGAGUAGAUAUAACCUCGCCGCCGGAGGCCAUGGCCGGGCGAAGCCUGUGCGGUGGUGGCGGCGGCGGGGCCUUUUGUUCUGGUGGCUUGAUGCGUGUGGUGGUUUAAGGCGUCACGGCGGGCGGCUGGGCGACGGCCGUCGGAUUUCGAAUGGCGGCGGGUUGAUGCGCUGUGCCUCAACCUGAAUCUGCAGAUCCUGGUGGUUGGCGUCAUGUACAUGUCCCUGGGCGUGCUCUAGAGGAUGCGUUGUUCCAAGAUCCAACUGCUCCCCACGCACAAGGACUGAAGGACGCAUCAGAUGUGCUGCAUGCGUUUAUCUGCCGGCUGUUCCACUGCUUCCAUCCCUGAUCCACCAUGGGUGGACCGCCAGGCCACCAAGCCACCUCACGGCGUGUGUGGAUGGGCUGAUGGUUGCUUGGCGGGAGCCAUGGCGCAGCGGCAACCACGACGACCGUCUGAAUAGGCGCAACUAUGGAGCAGGAUCGGUACGACCGUGAAAGGUUUGAUUUCCUGGAUCCGGCUUCUCCUUGUCUGGCGACUGCGGCGGCAACAGUGAACACACCGAACUGUGGUGGUGACCGGCUACGAAUUACGGUGGCCAUUGAAAAAUCUCUGUGAUGGUUCCCUUCUUCAGAUCCAGUGGUUGUCUUCGAGAGUGCAAUACAAUCUACAGAAGAAGGCUUGACGCACAAGGUACGGUUGUGCAGCAACAGCGGUCGGUUUUCUAGCCUAUGAAUGUAGCUGCUGUGUUCGCGGAAAAGUGGUGGUGACAACACAUGGUUAACUUCCAUAAGCUCCGGGGUGAAAACCUACGUUUGACCCAAGUUGGUCAUAACUGGCAAUGACGAUGUUUCCGCAUCAUUGCCUUGUUGAAGGAAUUGCUCGGAUAUGCUCAAACCGGUUCUUCAGGGUGAAAACCUUGAAUCUGACAUUGGUGGUUGGAUCUGGUGACGGCGGCGUUUGAGCGCCGCUCCCUUGCUGAAGGCGUUGCUGUUGAAGAACCUUGUUAUCCUUGUGAUGUCAUGAGAUGAUUGAUGCGGAUAUGGCCAUAGUUAUAGUUUGUCGAUCACCGAUUUGAUAGCUUCAGGGUUUUUCUUUUCCUCGUCUAGGCAUAGCUUUGGUCUCAUGUAACUUUGCUAUUUGCCAGCGUGUUUGUGUGUGUGCGCGUUGGGGGUUGGUUGUGUGCAUCCUAACUAUGCAGAGGCCGAGUGUGUGCUCAUUGUGUUUAUAUCUUCUUGAUUUUUCAUUUUGAGUCAAUAAAAUCCACCCUUUACCAAAAAAGAUAUAUCAUCUUUCAAGUCCAUUAGAAUGCAAUAUGAAGUGUCAGAUCAGGAUGCCAGAUAAGUGACAACAUAUUAGAAUAUCAUGAAAAGGUAUAUGUUAGUACUGGGAUAUAGAUUGUAAAUAGCCAGAGACAAAAGGGAUACUUAUCGUGCAACAAAACCGAGCAACGCCCAUCCAGCUGGAUAUAUGCGUAUCAAGGGUGCCUGUCGGGGGAGUUACCCGCGGCUAGACCUGGCUUUGAGGAUAAGUCAUCUCUGGAGUUAAGUCGUUUCUGGAGUUAAGUCAUCUCUGGAGUUAAGUCGGCCGACUACAAUCAUAAUCCGGCUACAAUCAUGACCCGGCCUGCUACAGGAUCUGGACCUAGGCAAAGUUCCGUCCAGAAGGAGUCCAAAUACAAGAUGGAGACCCUGACUUGGAAGACACAGAGGAUGUAGAGGACUUAGAGUAGGACUCCGACUGCGGGUAUAACCCAGAAUCUCUUCUAACCCCAGAGACUCGACUAUUAUAUAAGCAAGUCCAUGGGUCAUCAGAAGACAAGUUUUUAUACAGACAAGUCUUGAGACAGAUAUUUUGAUAGGUCUCGGGACAGAUGUUUUGAUAGGUCUCGAGACAAAGGUAGCGAAAUAGCGCCCUUGAAAUCGAGACCACCACAAUCAAUAGCAAUCAAGUAGGUCGAUGUAGGCUUUUACCUCCACCGUGCGGGGCCAAACCUGGGUAAACUCGCAUCUUCUCAUUUCCGAUCAACCCCAUCCAAGCUUCCACCUAGCAAGGAUGCCUCACAACUUAGUCUUCUCACGAAGACAUCUGCCGUGACAAAACCAAUAAUGUGCCACAACUGGCAUAACCCGAUAAAUCUCGUGUAACAAAACCGAGGAAUGCCCAUCUGGUUGGAUAUAUGUGUAUCAAGGGCGCCACAACUGGUAUAACCCGGUAAAUCAAAACGUUCAUGAAAUAUAUUAACCUGAAUCAUGGGUUGCUUGCCAUAAUUUGAGCGAUAGCAGUACCAUACCCAUGCAUAUGUGUGAUACGUCUUCGUCGUAUCUACUUUUCCAAACACUUUUGCCCUUGUUUUGGACUCUAACUUGCAUGAUUUGAAUGGAACUAACCUGGACUGACGUUGUUUUCAGCAGAAUUGCCAUGGUGUUAUUUUUGUGCAGAAAUAAAAGUUCUCGAAAUGACCUGAAAAUCCACGGAGAAUUAUUUUGGAAUAUAUAAAAAAUACUGGAAGAAAGAUCCACGUCAGGGGGGCCUCCACCUGUCCACGAGGGUGGGGGCGCCCUACUGGGCGCGCCCCCUGCCUCGUGGGCCCCCUGACGCUUCACCGACCUCAACCCUGACUCCAUAUAUUCACUUUCGGGGAGAAAAAACCAAGGAGAAGGAUUCAUCGCGUUUUACGAUACGGAGCCACCGCCAAGCCCUAAACUCUCUCGGGAGGGCUGAUCCGGAGUCCGUUUGGGGCUCCGGAGAGGGCAAUCCGUCGCCAUCGUCAUCAUCAACCUUCCCCCAUCACCAAUUUCAUGAUGAUCACCGCCGUGCGUGAGUAAUUCCAUCGUAGGCUUGCUGGACGAUGAUGGGUUGGAUGAGAUUUAUCAUGUAAUCGAGUUAGUUUUGUUAGGGUUUGAUCCCUAGUAUCCACUAUGUUCUGAGAUUGAUGUUGCUAUGACUUUGCUAUGCUUAAUGCUUGUCUCUAGGGCCCGAGUGCCAUGAUUUCAGAUCUGAACCUAUUAUGUUUUCAUCAAUAUAUGAGAGUUCUAAAUCCUAUCUUGCAAGUCUAUAGUCACCUACUAUGUGUUAUGAUCUGGCAACCCCGAAGUGACAAUAAUCAGGACCAUUUCUGGUGAUGACCGUAGUUUGAGGAGUUCAUGUAUUCACUAUGUGUUAAUGCUUUGUUCCGGUACUCUAUUAAAAGGAGGCCUUAAUAUCCCUUAGUUUCCAAUAGGACCCCGCUGCCACGGGAGGGUAGGACAAAUGAUGUCAUGCAAGUUCUUUUCCAUAAGCACGUGUGACUAUAUUCGGAAUACAUGCCUACAUUACAUUGAUGAACUGGAGCUAGUUCUGUGUCACCCUAGGUUAUGACUGUUACAUGAUGAACCGCAUCCGGCAUAAUUCUCCAUCACCGAUCCAUUGCCUACAAGCUUUCCAUAUAUUGUUCUUCACUUAUUUACUUUUCCGUUGCUAUUUUAUCAUCACUAUAAAACACCAAAAAUAUUACUUUUGCUACUGUUACCUUUUACCACCGUUACCAUUACUAUCAUAUUACUUUGCUACUAAAUACCUUGCUGCAGAUAUUAAGUUUCCAGGUGUGGUUGAAUUGACAACUCAGCUACUAAUACUUGAGAAUAUUCUUUGGCUCCCCUAGUGUCGAAUCAAUAAAUUUGGGUUGAAUACUCUACCCUCGAAAACUAUUGUGAUCCCCUAUACUUGUGGGUUAUCAAGUCUAUUUUUUGGCGCCGUUGCCGGGGAGCAUAGCUCUAUUCUUUGAGUCACUUGGGAUUUAUACCUGCUUAUCAUUAUAAAGAACUUGAAAGAUCCAAGAACCAAAAUUUAUCCCUCAACUACGAGGGGAGGUAAGGAACUGCCAUCUAGCUCUGCACUUGAUUCACCUUCUGUUUUGAGUAAGCUUGCGACACCUAAACCUGCUUCUGCUAUUAAUUCUGAUAUGUCGCAUGUUAUUGAUGAUGCCACUUCUGCUAUGCAUGAUACUUAUGAUGAAACUACUUCUAUGCUUGAUACUACUGUGCCACUUGGUGAAUUUCUUGAUGAACAAGUUGCUAGGGCUAGAGAGAAUGAAAUUAUUGAAACUGAUAAUAUUGAUGAAAGUGAUGAUGAAGACUCCCCCUAGAUAUGAAUUACUUGUUGUGCUCGAGGGCUAUGUUAUGGAUGAAGAAACUGCUAGAGAUUUUCUUGCUUGCAAUGAUAGGAUGAUCUUAAGAAAUUAUUAGCUAAGCCGAAACAAAAAACUCUGAAUGCUAGAAUGAAAUAUGAUUCUGCUUAUGCUACUUCACCUAUCUUUGUUACUAAUAAGGAUUAUGAUUUCUCUGUCGACCCUGAUAUAAUUACUUUGGUUGAAUCUGAUCCUUUCUAUGGCUAUGAAUCUGAAACUGUUGUGGCACAUCUUACUAAAUUAAAUGAUAUAGCCACCCUGUUCACUAAUGAUGAGAAAACUCGCUACUAUUAUAUCCUUAAAUUAUUUCCGUUCUCAUUAAAGGGUGAUGCUAAGAUAUGGUUUAAUUCUCUUGAUCCUGGUUGUGUGCGUAGUCUCCAGGAUAUGAUUUAUUACUUCUCUGCUAAAUAUUUCCCCGCUCAUAAGAAACAAGCUGCUUUAAGGGAAAUAUAUAAUUUUGUGCAAAUUGAAGAAGAGAGUCUCCCACAAGCUUGGGGGAGGCUUCUCCAAUUACUUAAUGCUUUGCCUGAUCAUCCUCUUAAGAAAAAUGAAAUACUUGAUAUCUUUUAUAAUGGACUAACCGAUGCUUCCAGAGACCACCUGAAUAGUUGUGCUGGUUGUGUUUUCAGGGAAAGAACACGAGAUGAAGCUGAAAUUCUAUUGAAUAAUAUGUUGACUAAUGAAAAUAAUUGACACUUCCUGAUCCAAUUCGUGAACCAACUCCUAAGCCAACUCCGAAGAGAAGGGGUAUUCUAUUUCUCAGUCCUGAAGAUAUGCAAGAGGCAAAGAAAUCUAUGAAGAAAAAGGUAUUAAAGCUGAAGAUGUUAAGAAUUCAUCACCUAUUAAAGAAAUACAUGGUCUUAAUUUACAACCUGUUGAAGAAAUACAUGGUCUUAAUCCAUCACCUAUUGAAGAAAUACAUGGUCUUGAUAACCCGACACAGGUAGUAAAGGUAAAUUCUCUCUAUAGAUAUGAUAAAGUUGAAAUCCCAUUUACUAAGUUUGCUAGCCCAUGCUUGGAUGAGUUUGAUGACUUUAUGGUCAAACAAGAAAACUUCAAUGCUUAUUUUGGUAGAGAAUUAAAACACAAUGCUGAUAUGCUUGAACACUUGGGUGAUUAUAUGGCUAAUGUUAAAGGUGAACUUAAACUUAUUAGUAAACAUGCUUCUAUGGUUACCACUCAAGUAGAACAAGUACUUAAAGCACAGAAUGAUUUGCUCAAUGAAUUGAAUAGUAAGAAAAAUGAUAAUGUUGUUAGAGUUAUGACUAGAGGUGGUAAAAUGACCCAGGAACCUUUGUACCCUGAGGGCCAUCCUAAGAGAAUUGGGCAAGAUUCUCAGAGAACUAAUAUAGAUGCACCUAGUCCUUCUAAGAGGAAGAAAAAGAAAAAUGAUAGGACUUUGCAUGCUUCUAGUGAACCUGUUAUUGACACACCUGAGAAUCCCAAUGAUAUUUCUAUUUCUGAUGCCGAAACACAAUCUGGUAAUGAACAUGAACCUAGUAAUAAUGUUAAUGAUGAUGUUCAUGUUGAUGCUCAACCUAGUAAUGACAAUGAAGUAGAGAUUGAACCUGCCGUUGAUCUUGAUAAGCCACAAUCAAAGAAUCAACGUUAUGAUAAGAGAGACUUUGUUGCUAGGAAGCACGGUAAAGAAAGAGAACCAUGGGUUCCGAAACCCAUGCCUUUUCCUCCUAAACCAUACAAGAAAAAGGAUGAUGAGUAUUUUGAGCGCUUUGCUGAAAUGAUUAGACCUAUCUUCUUGUGUAUGCGUUUGACUGAUAUGCUUAAAAUGAAUCCUUAUGCUAAGUACAUGAAAGAAAUUGUUACUAAUAAAAGAAAGAUACCGGAAGCUGAAAUUUCCACCAUGCUUGCUAAUUAUACUUUUAAGGGUGGAAUACCUAAGAAACUAGGAGAUCCAGGAGUACCAACCAUACCAUGUUCCAUUAAAAGAAACUAUGUUAAAACUGCUUUAUGUGAUCUUGGAGCCGGUGUUAGUGUUAUGCCUCUCUCUUUAUAUCAUAGACUUGAUUUGAAUAAGUUGACACCUACUGAAAUAUCUUUGAAAAUGGCUAAUAAAUCAACUGCUAUACAUGUCGGUAUUUGUGAGGAUGUGCUUGUUGUGGUUGCAAAUGUUACUAUUUUAACGGACUUUGUUAUUCUUGAUAUUCCCGAGGACGAUAGUAUGUCUAUUAUUCUUGGAAGACCCUUUUUGAAUACUACAGGGCUGUUAUUGAUUGCACCAAAGGCAAUUUCACUUUUCAUGUUAAUGGCAAUGAGCAUACGGUACACUUUCCGAGGAAACAACCUCAAGUUCAUAGUAUAAACUCUCUUGGAAAAAUUCCAUCGAUUACUAUUGGAGGUUUUGAAUUUCCUCUUCCUACUAUCAAGAAGAAAUAUGAUAUUCUUAUUGUUGGGGAUGUGCAUAUCCCCGUUGAGGUAACCUAGUGUUAUUCGAAAAUUCUCCGGUUCCAUGUUAUUCAGAAUGAGUUUGUUAACAAGACCUGAUCAACCUUGUUAGUGGAUUCCUUUUGAUGAGCAUGAGAUGGAUGAAUUUAGAAAACACAACUCUCUGUACCGUCUUUUUACUUUCUGUUAUUUAUAUUAAAUAAAGCAAAAAUAAUAAUUUCCGUCAGUUUUCUGAAUUAUCCAUGCAAUAAAAAAAUACCCCGAAAAUAAAAGUUCUUCAAAUGCCCUAAAAUUUAAAUAUGAUUUUUUCUGGAAUAUUUGAGAAUAUCUGGUACUGAGAACACAACAGGGGGAGCAAGCACCUGGCCACGAGGGUGGAGGGCGCGCCCUACCCCCCUGGGCGCGCCCCCUGCCUCGUGGGCCCACGGUGACUCCCCUCCACUUAUUCCAGCUACCACACACUCCUUCUUCUUCCCAGAAACAUCACUAACCAGCUCAAACCCAAGUCCAAGCUCAUUUUGAUGCCAUUUUUGAUCUCCUUGCUCAAAGCACCUCUCACAAAACUGCUUUGGGGGAUUGUUCCUUGGCAUGUGACUCCUCCAAUGGUCCAAUUAGUUUUUGUUCCAGUGAUUUAUUCAUUGCAUAUUUUUGCUGCUUAGGUGACCCUAUUCUUGAGCUUGCAUGUCAAAUUUAUAUGGUCAAAAGUAGUUUUGAUGCAUGAUAUUGCCUCUAGGCACUUGUAGGAGUAGUUGCUAUCAAUAUUGUUGAGUUUGGUUCACUUUUAUUUUGAAGUUACUAAAAAAAAUUCAGAAAUUUUCAGAAAAAGGUGAAGAGAUUUUUGAGGGGCUCAUCGAGCCGAAGCUCGAAGGAUAAGCAAAUUGAGGAGGAUAAGAGGCCCAAAUAUAAUCUUCCUCGCACCACGGAGGUUCGGCCAUGUGAAUGGCCUUGUGGUGAUUUCUUGAGAGCAGCCGGGAUUUAUGAUGAUUUCUAUGAAUUGGCUGAGAAUGCAGGCCUCACCGCCUUCCUCCACGACCGAUGCGAACAGUAUCUCUUACUCACCAAUAUCUUUAUGCAAAACUUUCAUUUCCAUGAUAGGAGCUCACCACCUAUGGUGGAAUUUUAUUUAUAUGAUGAGCAUAAGAAGAUGUCACUUCAAGAUUUUUGUCGGGUUUGUUUGAUCCCUUUCGAGGGCAGCGUAGAGGAACCACAUCGUGACGAUGUGGAUGGGUUUAUUGAUACCAUUACUGUAGGGGAAACGAGGAAGGUUUCCGACCCACGAAUUACUAGCAUACACUUUCCUGUUCUACGUUACUUUGUUAUAUUUGCUAGUACAUGCUUAAUUGGGCGCGAAAACUGUGGAAACCUGAGUGCCCCUGAUAUUGUUAUUUUGUUCCAUGCCUUAUUUUGUGAUGACACAUUUAGUAUGGGCGCUAUUAUUGCAAAGCGGUUAAAUCUUAACCGUACUAAGGGCCCCAUCCUUGGAGGCAUCUUCGCCUCGCGCCUCGCUGCACACUUUAACAUACCUAUUAGGCAUUAUGAGAAGGAAGAGAAGUUGCUGCCUCCUGUUUAUUUAGAUUAUAAAAGUAUGGUAGCACAUGAUUUUAUUGUUAAGAAUAGGGAAAAUGCGCUUAAGUACAAAUUAAUAUUUGGUAAAAAUCAUCCUGAGACUAUUACCCUGCCUGCUCCUUCAUUGUUUGAUUUAUCUGCAGGCAAGUACCUUGUUCCGUUGGAGGCCAUUCACACCUACCGGAACCCUACAUCAGCUACAGAGCCAGAGCCGGAAUCACAAUUUGAGCCUCCACGACAGUCUGAUUACCAGUGGGAUCCGGAGGUGAUUGCCAACCAGUGGCAAUCCGAGGCUUCUUCACAGUACGACCCCAACUAUUACUUUGGAUAUCCGCCAGGCCAGCCGUGGCCAUAGACCAACUUAGGCCAAAAGCCUAAUCUUGGGGAAGUACGUAUUUCUCACCGACAUUACAUUCAUGUUCACACACUCAUUGCUAGUUGUCGGUGCUCAUACUUUUUCAUUGUAUCAUCCAUGCUAGUUUGUUUUACUUUUUAUGCUUUCUUCUUGUGUGUUUAAUAAACCUUAAGAAAAACAAAAAAAGUUGUAGCUUUCAGCUAGUUUACUUCUCAUGCUGUAGUAGUAAUAAUUAAAAAGAAACCCCAAAAAGAUUUCUCGUUCUUGUUUUUCUUGUUGGGAGCUUUCCCAUGUAAAUAGUGUUAUUUCUUUUCUUUCCUUUGGGGGUCGAGCGGAGAAGACCAUAAGUAAAAUGUUAAAGUGGCUCUUAUAUGCAUUAUCGUUGAUCUGACAAAGAGCCCAUAUUACCCUGUCUUCUCUCUUGAAUUGAAUGCUUGCAGAUUCCAGCUUAGUCCAAUGCACGUGAACUAUUAUUAUUAUCCACACUAUUCGGUCGUGCAAGUGAAAGGCAAUAAUGAUGAUUAUAUGAUGAACUUAUUGAGAUAAGAAAAGCUGGUAUGAACUCAACCUCUCUUGUUUUUGUAAAUAUGAUUAGUUCAUCGUUCCUGAUUCAGCCUAUUAUGAAUAAACAUGUUUGCAAUGACAAUUAGAUAUUAUAGUUGCUUAUGCCAUGCUUAAUUAUCUAGGAGCUUAUAAUGGUUUACCUUGCGUGCCAACAUUGUCGUGGUAUUCACACGGGGGGCUUGCGAGUCGACAGAUGCCACAAGGGCUUAGGGUGAGGGUAACACUGCUGCUGAUAGGACCGGGAGCGGGUAUGCGAGUAGCACACGCUAGUUUACCCAGGUUCGGGGCUCUCCGGAGAGAUAAUACCCCUACUCCUGCAUGUCUGAGUAUAUAUCUGGGGUGUACAUCGGGCAGUACAAAGUGCUCCUAGAGCUGUAUCCGAGGUCAGUGCCAUGGGCAUCUGACUUGUAUAUGUCUCAUGUGUAUAUGAGCUAGCUAGCAAGUGAGCAUGAGAGUGCUCCACUGUGAGUGAACAUGUAUGCAUGCGUGAGGGGUGUGUCCAUGGGCAUGUAUAAGUAUGAGCCUAUGUGUGUCUUCUCCUUUAUAUAGGACAGGGUAGCUUAGGAUGUAAGCUUGGUAGUGGGCAUGGGUGGUGGUAGCGUUGGUUGUAAGCUACCUUGGUAGCUUACAAACCAAGCUAUGUAGUGGCAUGGGCUAGGCAUGGUGCAUGUCAUGCUUGUCCCCUGGGCACUUUAUAGAAUAGUGUCAAGGGGACAGGUACACUGUAGAUGAUGGCGUCGCGGUACGGUUGUCUUGUCCGCGGUAUGGCCGUCUCGUCGGGGUCUUGUCGAUGUUGGGUCGAGCUGCAGUCGGCGGCCGGCUGGUUGGCGCAGUCGGCAGCCGGCUGAGGAGCCGGGAGGAGCAGCCGGGCAGUCGGACUGAGGGGCUUUGCUAGCCCCAUGUCUUGAAAUAUUGUCUUGCCGUCUUCGGGGUACCCGUGGUCAAUUACUCCGUCAGUAGCCCCCAAGCCUCCGGGCAACUCGGCAAAGUUGGGCGGAGGUUUUUUGGCGAGUGUUCAUGGAAAUGAUCAUGAAAAAGACAAAGUUAGUCCACGCAGAUAUAUCAAAUGUUUACUUUUAGCAUUGCAAGUUUUAUGCGGAGGGUGCCGACUCGGUUUUGUUCGAGCCCCCUUUAAUCUUUUUCAUGUUCCCUCCGCUUUUUGGCUUGUGCUCUCGCUCGCCGGACAGCCGCUCUGCGGUCUGUGGCUGAGAGUGGGCCGCGAAGUGGAGUGUACAGUACUCAGAGUCUGGGAGCAGAUUCGACCGAGCAGAUACUUGUAAAGGAAACGACCGGGUCGCCCGAUCUGUUUUUCUUCCCGAACGUUUUUCGCGUGGGUGGCCUCCAGCGUUCACUCUUGCUAGUCGGACAGCCGCUCUGCGGUCUGUGACUAAGAGUGGGCCUUUGGUACCGUGCAUGGUACUAAGCUGUCUGCGGGAUCUAACGUCUCAGGCCAAGCGGCCAGCCCCCGGGCCAACUCCAGCUGGCGCCGGGGCAAACAGUGAUGCUACUGUAAUAAAACGCGGAGACAGCCCCCGAGCUUCGCUCGGGGUUAUCCGUGCUUGCGUGGUGCAAAAAAUAUGCGGGUGAGGAGCUCACAUUGAUUUUCGUGUAGUCGCGAUCGUUGUCGAAGACAGGCGGCACGGCUCGGCGCUCGCGGAGCGCGCCGGCGUACCCGUUGGGUGUAGCCUUUGAGCCUCCGGGUGCUCGAAGGGGGGGGGGGUCCCGGCCGGUCAGGCUCGACCGGCCAGGCGGCGAGGCAUCUUGCAGCGCCCUUUUUCUUCUUUUUCUCUUCUGCCGGCUGCUGGCAACCGGAACAAACUCUUCUCUUGUGUGCAAUCUUCCGUGGGGGCGCACCAGCGCACCCACUUGGUGUAGCCCCGAGAUUUGGGCCGACUGCUGAGCAGUCGGGCCGGAUCUUCUGGCAGCUACUUUGUCUUCUUUUUCACGGGGGCGCGUUAGCGCACCCGCUAGGUGUAGCCCCCGAGAUUCGGGCCGACUGCUGAGAAGUCGGGCCGGGUCUUCCGGUGACUACUUUGUCUUCUUCUUUUUGUCUGCCAGUACAGCCAGACAUACACUUCUUCUUCUGCUUCGUUUCUCGGAUGCCUACUUUUUUUUCCAGUCAGCCAGCUGGGCACCCGAUGUGACUUUUCUCUCUUCAGCCGGCUAGCGGCUUUGACUUUUCUUUUAUCUUCUUCACAUUGGCUCAACAGUCGGCAGGAGCGGGCAGGGAGCCGGCAGCCGGCCAGGCCGGCCGGGUGGUGGGUGAAGCCGGGUGGCGGGCGGAGCCGGCCUUCCGGGUGGCGGGAGCCGGCUGCGCAGGCGCGGACGGGGAGUCGGCGACCGGGUGGCGGGACUUGGGCGUCUUGGCGCAGUGUGGACGGCGGCUGGCGCGCCUGAGGCAGCAAGCGCGCGGGAGGCGGCCGGCCCGGCAUGGUGGCGGAGCAGCCGGCCAGGCGCAGGCGGCAUGGUGGAGCGGCCUCNNNNNNNNNNNNNNNNNNNNNNNNNNNNNNNNNNNNNNNNNNNNNNNNNNNNNNNNNNNNNNNNNNNNNNNNNNNNNNNNNNNNNNNNNNNNNNNNNNNNNNNNNNNNNNNNNNNNNNNNNNNNNNNNNNNNNNNNNNNNNNNNNNNNNNNNNNNNNNNNNNNNNNNNNNNNNNNNNNNNNNNNNNNNNNNNNNNNNNNNNNNNNNNNNNNNNNNNNNNNNNNNNNNNNNNNNNNNNNNNNNNNNNNNNNNNNNNNNNNNNNNNNNNNNNNNNNNNNNNNNNNNNNNNNNNNNNNNNNNNNNNNNNNNNNNNNNNNNNNNNNNNNNNNNNNNNNNNNNNNNNNNNNNNNNNNNNNNNNNNNNNNNNNNNNNNNNNNNNNNNNNNNNNNNNNNNNNNNNNNNNNNNNNNNNNNNNNNNNNNNNNNNNNNNNNNNNNNNNNNNNNNNNNNNNNNNNNNNNNNNNNNNNNNNNNNNNNNNNNNNNNNNNNNNNNNNNNNNNNNNNNNNNNNNNNNNNNNNNNNNNNNGCCACGGGGUGGGCGGGAGCCGGCCGGGCCUGCCGCAGCCGGUGCGGGAGCAGGCGGCCGCGCAGCAGCCGGCGCGGGAGCUAGCCGGGCCCGGCCAGGCGCGGGGCGCCGUCGGGGAGCCGGAUGAUGGAGGGAGGCGGUCGGGCCGGCUUGCCGUAUAUAAAUCUUUGCCUCCGGACCAUUCCGGAACUCCUCGUGACGUCCGGGAUCUCAUCCGGGACUCCGAACAACUUUCGGGUUACCGCAUACUAAUAUCUCUAUAACCCUAGCGUCACCGAACCUUAAGUGUGUAGACCCUACGGGUUCGGGAGACACGUAGACAUGACUGAGACGACUCUCCGGCCAAUAACCAACAGCGGGAUCUGGAUACCCAUGUUGGCUCCCACAUGCUCCUCGAUGAUCUCAUCGGAUGAACCACGAUGUCGAGGAUUCAAUCAAUCCCGCAUACAAUUCCCUUUGUCUAUCGGUAUGUUACUUGCCCGAGAUUCGAUCGUCGGUAUCCCGAUACCUUGUUCAAUCUCGUUACCGGCAAGUCUCUUUACUCGCUCCGUAACACAUCAUCCCAUGAUCAACUCCUUGAUCACAUUGUGCACAUUAUGAUGAUGUCCUACCGAGUGGGCCCAGAGAUACCUCUCCGUUUACACGGAGUGACAAAUCCCAGUCUCGAUUCGUGCCAACCCAACAGACACUUUCAGAGAUACCCGUAGUGCACCUUUAUAGUCACCCAGUUACGUUGUGACGUUUGGCACACCCAAAGCACUCCUACGGUAUCCGGGAGUUGCACAAUCUCAUGGUCUAAGGAAAUGAUACUUGACAUUAGAAAAGCUUUAGCAUACGAACUACAUGAUCUUUGUGCUAGGCUUAGGAUUGGGUCUUGUCCAUCACAUCAUUCUUCUAAUGAUGUGAUCCCGUUAUCAAUGACAUUCAAUGUCCAUGGUCAGGAAACCGUAACCAUCUAUUGAUCAACGAGCUAGUCAACUAGAGGCUUACUAGGGACAUGGUGUUGUCUAUGUAUCCACGCAUGUAUCUGAGUUUCCUAUCAAUACAAUUCUCUCAUGGACAAUAAACGAUUAUCAUGAACAAGGAAAUAUAAUAAUAACCAAUUUAUUAUUGCCUCUAGGGCAUAUUUCCAACAGUCUCCCACUUGCACUAGAGUCAAUAAUCCAGUUCACAUCGAUAUGUGAUUAACACUCAAGGUCACAUCCCCAUGUGACUAACACCCAAAGAGUCUACUAGAGUCAAUAAUCUAGUUCACAUUACCAUGUGAUUAACACUCGAUGAGUUCUGGGUUUGAUCAUGUUAUGCUUGUGAGAGAUGUUAUAGUCAACGGAUCUGAACCUUUUAGACCCGUGUGUGCAUUACAAAUCUCUAUGUCAUUUCCUAGAUGUAGCUACCACGUUCUAUUUGGAGCUAUUCCAAACAAUUGUUCUACUAUACGAAUCCAGUUUACUACUCAGAAUAAUCUGGAUUAGUGUCAAAGUUUGCAUCGGCAUAACCCUUUACGACGAACUCUUUUACCACCUCCAUAAUCGAGAAAAUUCCUUAGUCCACUAGUUACUAAGGAUAACUUUGACCGCUGUCCUGUGAUCCAUUCUUGGAUCACUCUUGUACCCCUUGACUGACUCAUGGCAAGGCACACUUCAGGUGCAGUACGCAGCAUAGCAUACUGUAGAGAGCCUAUGAUAAAAGCAUAGGGGACGACCUUCGUCCUUCCUCUUUCUUCUGCCGUGGUCGAGCUUUAAGUCUUAACUUCAUACCUUACAACUCAGGCAAGAACUCCUUCUUUGACUGAUCCAUCUUGAACACCUUCAAUAUCAUGUCAAGGUAUGUGCUCAUUUGAAAGUACCAUUAAGAAUUUUGAUCUAUCCUUAUAGAUCUUGAUGCUCAAUGUUCAAGUAGCUUAAUCCAGGCUAUCCAUUGAAAAACACUUUCCAAAUAACCCUAUAUGGUUUCCAGAAAUUCUACGUCAUUUCUGAUCAACAAUAUGUUAACAACAUAUAUUUAUCAGAAAUUCUAUAGUGCUCCCACUCACUUCUUUGGAAAUACAAGUUUCUCAUAAACUUUGUAUACACCCAAAACUUUGAUCAUCUUAUCAAAGCAUACAUUCCAACUCCGAGAUGCUUACUCCAGUCCUUAGAAGGAUUGCUGGAGCUUUGCAUACUUAUUAGCAUCUUUCAGGAUUGACAAAACCUUUCGGUUGUAUCACAUACAACCUUUCCUCAAGAAAAUCGUUGAGAAAACAAUGUUUUUGACAUCCUAUCUACAAGAUUUCACAAACAAUGCAGUAAUCGCUAAUAUAAUUCCAACAGACUCUUAGCAUCGCUACGAGUGAGAAAGUCUCAUCGUAGUCAACUCCUUGAACUUGUCGGAAAACAUCUUAACGACAAGUCGAGCUUUCUUAAUGGUGAUACCUACCAUCAUUGUCCGUCUUCCUUUUAAAAUCCAUAUGUACCUAACAGCCUUACGACCAUCAAGUAGUUCUCCCAAAGUCUACACUUUGUUUUCAUAUAUGGAUCCUCUCUCGGAUUAUAUGGCCUUGAGCCAUUUUGGAAUCUAGGCCCACCAUCGCUUCUCCAUAGUUCGUAGGUUCAUUCUUGUCUAGCAACAUGACUUCCAAGAUAGGAUUACGUACCACUCUGAAGUAGUACGCAUCCUUGUCAUCCCACGAGGUUUGGUAGUGACUUGAUCUGAAGUUUCAUGAUCACUAUCAUAAGCUUCCACUUCAAUUGGUGUAGGUGCCACAGGAACAACUCUUGUGCCCUGCCACACACUAGUUGAAGAGACGGGUCAACAACCUUAUCAAGUCUCCACCAUCCUCCCACUCAAUUCUUUCGAGAGAAACUUUUCCUCGAGAAAGGACCCGAUUCUAGAAACAAUCCCUUAUUGCUUUCGGAUCUGAGACAGGAGGUAUACCCAACUGUUUUGGGUGUCCUAUGAAGAUGCAUUUAUCCGCUUAGGGUUCGAGCUUAUCAGCCUGAAACUUUUCCACAUAAGCGUCGCAGCCCCAAACUUUUAAGAAAUGACAGCUUAGGUUUCUCUAAACCAUAGUUCAUACGGUGUCAUCUCAUCGGAAUUACGUGGUGCCCUAUUUAAAGUGAAUGUGGUUGUCUCUAAUGCCUAACCCAUAAACUAUCGUGGUAAUUCGAUAAGAGACAUCAUGGUAUGCAUCAUAUCCAAUAGGGUGCAGUUAUGAUGUUCGGACACACCAUCACACUAUGGUGUUCCAGGCUGUAUUAGUUGUGAAACAAUUUCCACAAUGUCUUAAUUCUGUGCCAAACUCGUAAUUCAGAUAUUCAUCUCUAUGAUCAUAUCAUAGAUAUUUUAUCCUCUUGUCACGACGAUCUUUCAACUUCACCCUAAAAUUACUUGAACCUUUCAAUAAUUCAAACUCGUGAUUCAUCAAGUAAAUAUACUCAACAUCUACUCAAAUCAUCUGUGAAGUAAGAACAUAACGAUAUCCACUACACGCCUCAGCACUCAUUGGACUACGCACAUCAAGAUGUAUUACUUCCAACAAGUUGCUUUCUUGUUCCAUUUUACUGAAAAUGAGGCUUUCGGUCAUCUUGCCCAUGUGGUAUGAUUUGCAUGUCUCAAGUGAUUCGAAAUCAAGUGAGUCCAAACGAUCCAUUUGUAUAGAGUUUCUUCAUGCAUAUCUACCAACAAACAUGGUUCGCAUGUCUCAAUCCUUUCAAAAAUGAGUGAGUCCAAAGAUCCAUCAACAUGGAGCUUCUUCAUGCGUUUUAUACCGAUAUGACUUAAGUGGCAGUGCCACAAGUAGGUGGUACUAUCAUUACUAUCCUAUAUCUUUUGGCAUGAACAUGUGUAUCACUACGAUCGAGAUUCAAUAAACCAUUCAUUUUAGGCGUAAGACCAUUGAAGGUAUUAUUCAAAUAAACAAAGUAACCAUUAUUCUCCUUAAAUGAAUAACCGUAUCGCGAUAGACAUAAUCCAAUCAUGUCUAUGCUCAACGCAAACAUCAAAUAACAAUUAUUUAGGUUUUAAUACCAAUCUCGAUGGUAGAGGGAGCGUGCGAUGCUUGAUCAUAUCAACCUUGGAAACAUUUCCAACACAUAUAGUCAGCUCACCUUUAGCUAGUCUCCGUUUAUUCCGUAGCUUGAGUUACUAACACUUAGCAACUGAACCGGUAUCUAAUACCCUGGUGCUACUAGGAGUACUAGUAACGUACACAUUAACAUAAUGUAUAUCCAAUAUACUUCUAUCGUCAGUCUUCUCAUCUACCAAGUAUCUAGGGUAAUUCUGCUCCAGUGGCUGUUCCCCUUUAUUACAGAAGCACUUAGUCUCGGGCUUGGGUUCAACUUUGGGUUUCUUCACUUGAGCAGCAGCUGACUUGUCGUUUCAUGAAGUAUCCCUUUCUUGCCCUUGCCCUUCUUGAAACUAGUGGUUUCACCAACCGUCAACAAUUGAUGCUCCUUCUUGAUUUCUACUUUUGUGGUGUCAAACAUCGCGAAUAUCUCAAGGAUCAUCAUAUAUGUCCCUGAUAUAUUAUAGUUCAUCACGAAGCUCUAGCAGCUUGGUGGUAAUGACUUCAGAGAAACAUCACUAUCUCAUCUGGAAGAUCAACUCCCACUCAAUUCAAAUGAUUGUUGUACUCAGACAAUCUGAGCACAAGCUCAACAAUUGAGCUUUUCUCCCUUAGUUUGCAGGCUAAGAAAAUCGUCGGAGGUCUUAUACCUCUUAACGUGGGCACGAGCCUGAAAUCCCAAUUUCAGCCCUCGAAACAUCUCAUAUGUUUCGCGACGUUUUAAAACGUCUUCGGUGCCUCAACUCUAAACCAUUUAACUGAACUAUCAUGUAGUUAUCAAAAUGUGUAUGUCAGAUGUUCGCAACAUCCAUAGACGACGUUCGAGGUUCAGCACACUGAGCGGUGCAUCAAGGACAUAAGCCUUUUACUGUCUGCAUAAUUGCUACUAUCAACUUUCAACUAAUUUUUCUCUAGGAACAUAUCUAAAUAGUGGAACUAAAGCGCGAGCUAUGACAUAAUUUGCAAAAACCCUUUUGACUAUGUUCAGGAUAAUUAAGUUCAUGAACUCCCACUCAGAUAGACAUCCCUCUAGUCAUCUAAGUGAUUACAUGAUCCAAGUCAACUAGGCCGUGUCCGAUCAUCACGUGAGAUGGACUAGUCAACAUCGGUGAACAUCUUCAUGUUGAUCAUAUCUAUCAUACGACUCAUGCUCGACCUUUCGGUCUCUUGUGUUCCGAGGCCAUGUCUGUACAUGCUAGGAUCGUCAAGUCAACCUAAGUGUUUUGCAUGUGUUCCGAGGCCAUGUCUGUACAUGCUAGGCUCGUCAACACCGUUGUAUUCGAACGUAAGAAUCUAUCACACCCGAUCAUCACGUGGUGCUUCAAAACGACGAACUUUCGCAACGGUGCACAAUUAGGGGGAACACUUUCUUGGAAAUUUUAAUGAGGGAUCAUCUUAUUUACUACUGUCGUUCUAAGCAAAUAAGAUGUAUAAACAUGAUAAACAUCACAUGCAAUCAAAUAGUGACAUGAUAUGGCCAUCAUCACUUUGCUCCUUUUGAUCUCCAUCUUCGGGGCUCCAUGAUCAUCAUCGUCACCGGCAUGACACCAUGAUCUCCAUCAUCAUGAUCUCCAUCAUCGUGUCUUCAUGAAGUUGUCUCGCCAACUAUUACUUCUACUACUACAGCUAACGGUUAGCAAUAAAGUAAAGUAAUUACAUGGCGUUGUUCAAUGACACGCAGGUCAUAUAAUAAAUAAAGACAAUUCCUAUGGCUCCUGCCGGUUGUCAUACUCAUCGACAUGCAAGUCGUGAUUCCUAUUACAAGAACAUGAUCAAUCUCAUACAUCACAUAUCAUUCAUCACAAUCUUCUUGGCCAUAUCACAUCACAUAGAAUACCCUGCAAAAACAAGUUAGGCGUCCUCUAAUUGUUGUUUGCAUGUUUUAUGUGGCUGCUAUGGGUUUCUAGCAAGAACGUUUCUUACCUACGCAAAAACCACAACGUGAUAUGCCAAUUGCUAUUUACCCUUCAUAAGAACCCUUUUCAUUGAAUCCGAUCCGACUAAAGUGGGAGAGACAGACACCCGCUAGCCACCUUGUGCAACUAGUGCAUGUCAGUCGGUGGAACCAGUCUCAUGUAAGAGUACGUGUAAGGUCGGUCUGGGCCGCUUCAUCCCACAAUGCUGCCGAAUCAAGAUUGGACUAGUAACGGUAAGCAUAUUGAACAAAAUCAAUGCCCACAACUACUUUGUGUUCUACUCGUGCAUAGUAACUAUGCAUAGACCUAGCUCAUGAUGCCACUAUUGGGGAACGUAGCAUAAAUUCAAAAUUUUCCUACGUGUCACCAAGAUCUAUCUAUGGAGUCAUCUAGCAACGAGGGAGGAGUGGAUCUACAUACCCUUGUAGAUCGCACGCGGAAGCGUUCAAGAGAACGGGGUUGAUGGAGUCGUACUCGUCGUGAUCCAAAUCACCGAUGAUCCUAGCGCCGAACGGACGGCACCUCCGCGUUCAACACACGUACGGAGCAGCGACGUCUCCUCCUUCUUGAUCCAGCAAGGGGGAAGGAGAGGUUGAUGGAGAUCCAGCAGCACGAUGGCGUGGUGGUGGAAGUAGCGGGAUUCCAACAGGGCUUCGCCAAGCGCUGCGGGAGGAGGGAGAUGUGUCAUGGGAGGGAGAGGGAGGCGCCAGGGCUUAGGUGCGGCUGCCCUCCCUUCCCCCCACUAUAUAUAGGGCCAAGGGAGAGGGGGGGAGGGCGCAGCCUUGGCCCUUCCUCCAAGGAAGGGUGCGGCCAGGGAGGAGUCCAUCCUCCCCAAGGCACCUAGGAGGUGCCUUCCCCCUUUAGGACUCUUCCUUUCCCUUAUCUCUUGGCGCAUGGGCCUCUUGGGGCUGGUUCCCUUGGCCCAUAUAGGACAAGGCACACAACCCUAUAGCCCAUGUGGCCACCAGGGGCAGGUGGACCCCCUUGGUGGACCCCCGGACCCCUUUCGGCACUCCCGGUACAAUACCGAUAAUGCGCGAAACUUUUUCGGUGACCAAAACAAGACUUCUCGUAUAUAAAUCUUUACCUCCAGACCAUUCUGGAACUCCCCGUGACGUCCGGGAUCUCAUCCGGGACUCCGAACAACUUUCGGGUUACCACAUACUAAUAUCUCUAUAACCGUAGCGUCACCGAACCUUAAGUGUGUAGACCCUACGGGUUCGGGAGACACGUAGACAUGACCGAGACGACUCUCCGGCCAAUAACCAACAGCGAGAUUUGGAUACCCAUGUUGGCCCCCACAUGCUCCUCGAUGAUCUCAUCGGAUGAACCACGAUGUCGAGGAUUCAAUCAAUCCCGCAUACAAUUCCCUUUGUCUAUCGGUAUGUUACUUGCCCGAGAUUCGAUCGUCGGUAUCCCGAUACCUUGUUCAAUCUCGUUACAGGCAACUCUCUUUACUCGUUCCGUAACACAUCAUCCCGUGAUCAACUCCUUGAUCACAUUGUGCACAUUAUGAUGAUGUCCUACCGAGUGGGCCCAGAGAUACCUCUCCGUUUACACGGAGUGACAAAUCCCAGUCUCGAUUCGUGCCAACCCAACAGACACUUUCGGAGAUACCCGUAGUGCACCUUUAUAGUCACCCAGUUACUUGUGACGUUUGGCACACCCAAAGCACUCCUACGGUAUCCGGGAGUUACACAAUCUCAUGGUCUAAGGAAAUGAUACUUGACAUUAGAAAAGCUUUAGCAUACGAACUACAUGAUCUUUGUGCUAGGCUUAGGAUUGGGUCUUGUCCAUCACAUCAUUCUUCUAAUGAUGUGAUCCCGUUAUCAAUGACAUUCAAUGUCCAUGGUCAGGAAACUGUAACCAUUUAUUGAUCAACGAGCUAGUCAACUAGAGGCUUACUAGGGACAUGGUGUUGUCUAUGUAUCCACACAUGUAUCUGAGUUUCCUAUCAAUACAAUUCUAGCAUGGACAAUAAACGAUUAUCAUGAACAAGGAAAUAUAAUAAUAACCAAUUUAUUAUUGCCUCUAGGGCAUAUUUCCAACAAUAUUCACAGGUGCUUAUUUUCUUAGGAUAACUCAUAAUAACUGUCCCUAAGAAACUUGGCUACUAGAACUGGCAUACAAAUAACAUGUCAUGAUGAUAGCAAUGGAGGAGUGACGCACCAUAGCACACUGUAUAGGCUCACCGCUGCCUCUCCUUUUUUUGCGACGUUCCAUGAAAUUGCCACAUACAUCUUGUACUUUUUCAUUGUGUAACCCUAUCUGCAAGUUGACACGGCUAAUUUCAGACAUCUCUACAUGAUACAACAUUGCAUAUCCCUUGCGCAUAUUUAAACCACCAAUUAACGAUUGUGUGCGUACCAUAAACUAGCCAUGACUCUGUAUGCUGGACUAGUAGGCACUCUAAGGGAGCCUAAUGUAGUGCACUGGAAUUCCUACAUGCCACCUAUGAUUUUGUGUAAUGUACUGCCCCUGUUCCUAAAUGUAUGUCUUUGUAGAGAUUCCAGUAUGGACCACAUACAGAUGUAUAUAGAUGCAUUUUCGAGUGUAGAUUCACUCAUUUUGCUCCGUAUGUAGCCUAUAGUGGAAUCUCUAGAAAGACUUAUAUUUAGGAAUGGAGGUACGAGGUAGUAUCAUGUAUGACAUCUACAUAUCUAAUUUAGCAGCCAAUAGUAGAAAUCAUUGUCUGCACAUAGGGAUUACUGGUCGAAAAUCCUAGCAAAGCCGCUGGCAGGCAUAGAACAAUACAAGAGAGAGAGAGAGACGCGCUUACAAGAUCAUAGCAAUGCCUCAGUCCAGGAUCUUGGUUGGCCAAGCUGUUAGAUCCAGAAGAAACAUCGUCCUUGUAGUUUUUGCCAGCUGCAUAACAGGUAACAGCGACCGGUUAGUAUAUUUGAAGUACAUCGGGAAGGUGAUGCUGGACAGGUUUAAAGGUGACAAGUACCUAGGCCGUGGCGGGUGCUUGGAAUCUCUCCAGAUGGUGGGAAUCAGGUUGGAAACAUUGAGGGUGAUGACGCUGCGCUGGCUGUCGGGGUCUGGUAAGGAGAUCUAGAACCGUCGAGUAGGGUGUUUGUGGAGUGGCUCCGGUAGGGUGGACUAUGGUGUGGGCGAAGCGGAUCUGUGGCCGUGGACGAGGGCGUAGGUGAAGCUGCUCCAGUGGUUGGGUUAAGGAUGGUGUCAACGACGCGGAUCUACGGCCGUGGACGGGGCGUUAGAAGCUGCUCCGGUGGUUGGGUUAAGGGUGGUGUCGACGAUGCGGAUCUGCGGCCGUGGACGGGGCGUCAGAAGCUGCUCCGGUAGGUUGGAUGAGGGUGCAAGGAAGCAGAUCUGAGGCCGUGGACUUGUGAGUUGGCAAAGCAGCCCCCGAUAGGGUUGAGAAUGGUAUAAGUGAAGCUACUCCGGUAGGGUUGACGAUGGCGUUGGCGAAGUGGCUCCGGUAGGGUUGAGGACGGUGUCGGCGAAGCGGCUCCGGUAGGGUUGAGGAAGGUGUCGGCGAAGAGGAUCAGAGGCCGUUGACGGGGGCGUCGGUGGGGCGGCUCUAGGGGGUGUGGAUGAAGCGUCUCCGGUGGGGAGUACGAAUGAGCCGCUGCAGAUGCGCGGCGGUUGACGAGAGUACCGGCGAAGCAGAUCCGGCGCCGUGGACAAGGCCGACACUGAAUGGGCUGUGGUACAGUGGUGGAUGAGCGGUCUACUUGUUUCUAGGGGAGGUGGGAGGGGUAGAUGCGGCCAGAGAAGCAGAUCCGGCGAGGUGGACGCCGCUGGCAGUGAAUGGGCUAUGGUACGCCGGUGGAUGAGCAGUCUAGGGUUUCGAGAGGGGAGGGGAGAAAGGGCGAUGAAGUACGUACGGCGUGAUGUAAGAUGCUCUGGUGCUGUGGAGUUAGUCGUUUUUGCGGGAGGGGGAGAGGAAAUGGGGGUGCCGUGUAGUGAGGGAACCGGAAGUUACCAAAGCAGCCCCAAACUAUCAUGUAGAUGAGGGCGGUAUCAUAACUGUUGGUCUCCGUGCACCAAGGACAAAAAGGGGAUUUCACAUGCUAAAGACCAAGGUGGCGGAAAUUUUAGAAGGAGGCGGGAUAUUUUGCCGCCCGUGGGAUCGUUCGUAUCCAGUUUCAACUAAUUUUGGACCGUGCUAGCGGGAAGGUCAUGCUAGACUGUGUACACAGGGCACACAUCAGCAGUUAAUAACUGGUGUGAUGUCCACCCCAGAAAAAAGAUGAUAACUCGGGAUGAUGCGUCGAUAACUUGGAUGUUCACACGGGCGCGGCCAAUCGUACGGGUGUAGUGGCGCAUUCACAAAAAAGGGAUCAAACGCUCAGCCUAUGUAUUUCUCGUGUAAAUAGAUAAUUUAGUGCCAUUGGUUAUUUACUUUAAACAUAAUGCAUUGACGUGUUAGUGUAGAGGCGCACAAAAAGAAAUGGAUAUUGUAGUCAGCUACUUAAAAGUGUUACCUCAUAUGAUUACAUAGCCUCCAUUUCAUAAAUUGCGUACCUGUUGAAUUCAUAUAUGAAUAUUACAUAUAUUACUUCAAAAUAGAAACUUAAAUCAUCCAAGACUAAUGAAUUUGAAUGCAAGAGUAACAAUGGUGCAUGUACAUGAUAGCUACAUUGGUUGUUUGAAGAAACAUCACUGUAACUUUGGCAUGCACAACUGAAAAGGUUUAUUUAAAUAGAAAAAAUGUGAUAUGUGAGUGUCCAAUCUUUAUAGCUUUGAAUCAAUAUUGUACCUUUGGCCACGAUACGAAGUAGAUAUUGACUUAUGUUCAAGCGAUGCACGUCCAUGAUCGCUAGAUAGUGAUACGUGAAUGAAUUGUGCAAUCUCUCUCACACGCAUACAUGUCUUAUUUCCCUGUGGGCAGCAGAAUCACACACGCGCACUUCGUGUAUUUCUCUCCCUCCGCCAGGGUUAAAUUCGUCUUUCUACCCUGUCCUACAAGUCUCUAACACAGAAACACACACGCUCUCUAUGUCUAACAUGCCCACCCAUUUAAUUCCGCCCACCCACAACCACUAAUGUCUCAAAGUAUAAUAAUGUCUCUCACACAUAUGCUAUCUACCUAUCCCUUAAUAUAGCUAGAUAUGUGUCACACAAACUCCUUCUCCGUACUAGCAAGAUGCCCAUGUGUUGCACGGAACAUCAAGAUGCAUUUGUAUGAGAAGUUUAUCUUGUGGGAGAAAAGGAUGAACGAGGGAAUGCCUUAUUUGCAAAUGCGGAGAGGGGUGUGGGUAUCUUUUUGCAAAAUUGCCAUAGUUUCCUUCCUGUCCGUCAGAUAUAAAUCGGAUGGCCUAUAUUGCAGGAUGGCAGGAACACCAUCAUCACCAACUAUGUUUUUAUAAGAGUAGAGAUAUGUGAGUGUCACUGCCCCCCCCACACACACCCACACUUCCCAACACCGAAGGAGUAGGGUGACAUCUCGAUCUUGAUACUAAUCUAUCGACUGGCUUCUCUCUCAAACAUACACACACACUACCUGGCACCGAAGGAGUAGGGUGGCACAUCGAUCUUGAUAAUAAUCUAUCUACUCCUCUUUCAAACACACACACACACACUCACUAGGUUUGCCUCUGUGCCUACCGCGCACACUCUCGAUACGUCUUUCUCUCCCUCCCCCCAACAAUGACAACAGAAGGGUGACAAAUCGAUCUGAUCAUAAUCUGUCAAUUGGUUUCUCUCUCAAACAUUGUGUCUCGGUGCCUCGCUCGGUAGCCCCCUCGAUAUCUAGACUUCUUGCGCGGGCACAGCUGUGGUGACGAUGACGCUGAACCCAGUGUGCCUUGUUUACCGGCCUCAUGCGAUAGUUUUCACCCUAUUUUCUGUUAAUUAACAAGGCAACCUUUUCUUUGUUACUACUAGUGAAUCUGAAAUCAUUCGGGGCAGACAUAAAAUAUAUCACUUCAACCCAAUUAUCGCAGCAACUAUUUUAAAAGAAAUAAGCUAGCUGCCCGUGCGUUGCACGGAACAUCAAGAUGCAUUUGUAUGAGUAGUUUAUCUUGUGAGAGAAAAGGUUGAAUGAGGGAAGGCCUUAUUUGCGAACGUGGAGAGAAGUGUGGGUAUAUUUUUGCAAAAUUGCCAUAGUUUCUUUCCUAUCCAUUAGAUAUAAAUCCGACAGCCUAUAUUGCAGGAUGGCACGCACACCAUCAUGACCAACUCUGUUUUCUACUCCCUCCGCCCGAAAAUACUUGUCAUCAAAAUGGAUAAAAAGAGAUGUAUCUAAAACUAAAAUACGUCUAAAUACAUUUCCUUUUAUCCAUUUUGAUGACAAGUAUUUCCGGAUGGAGGGAGUAUUUGUCUUUUUAGAGAUUUCAACAAGUGACUAUGACCGGACAUUACCAACAUACUCAAAAAAGCAGUCCAUAAUUUUGAUGUUACCAUAUUUUCUUGGCGGUGCAGUGCCAUCUGGAUACCUCAUAAAUAAAUAAAGUACUACAUGAUACUAAUAUAUGAUACAUGGCGCAGGAGUACUAAGUAUUAUUAAUACAGUUUUGCUAGAACUCAUCUAGAUGAGAUAUAAUUUGGUCUCAUUCAUCUUUUAUAGCCAUUGGAUGUGAUGCUAUAUAAGAUGCGUGUGUGCUGACGUGGGUUGUAUUUGUUCUUGUGCAACGAACUGACCACUGCAUGUCAUGUUUGAUAGUCUCAAGUCAUUAUAAGCAUACAAGCCCCACAUCUCUUCUUGGUUGAUUCCUCUAUUUAUGUCAAAAAAUAAGAAACAACAUGAGAGUUAAUGCACCACGCCUAUGUGUUUACUAUUUGGUUUUCGUAAGAUGACUUAAUACUCACCUAGACGGAGGGAGUAUUCGAUUUGACAGCGGGCGGUGCAGUUCCUUAUACGGCUUUAAUGCAGACGAGGGAGGGAGUAGCAGUUCCCGAUAUGUUGAACGGCCAAUGCAUCCACCUUCAAUUAAUGCAUGAGGGAAGUAAUGGGAGGAGGUCCGGGAAAAGAGGCUGCACGAUGUGAAUGCAACGCAGUUUGCCCUCAUUGCCCUCAUAUAAAGGCGCCCCUCCAUUCCAAUGCAUCUACCACAUUGUACGCACCUAAGCAUUUGCCUAAGCACCUACACUAAGCGCAAAAGAGCUCACUCCAGGCCCAUGGCGGCGAUGCUCGUGAGCGGCCAGCGGCUGCGCCAGAUGGUCCACGAUGCCGGCCUGCGGCAUGGCGCCGAGGAUCGUCUCCAGACGGUGUUGGAGACUGGCUGGUGGAUGGCCGCCUUCGAUGCCAACUAUGACUCUCAGUUGGACCAGAUGAUCGUUGUCACCAGCAACAAGUUCACCGUCCUCAAGAAGCUCGCGGACGACAUCGCCGUACUCCUCCAGCCCGCGCACCCGGGCUCCUCAUUGCCUGCCACCCUAAUCGGCCUCCAUGGCCGGAACCUCUUUCAAGCACUGGUAGCCCUGCGACUGCCCGCCGACGCCACGAAGAAUGUCCACCUGGAGGUCGCGCUCGCCGCGAGGUGCCUCGCCCUGCAAGAAUUCAUCGACCUACACAUCCACAUGUACGAGGAAAUCGUGUACAUAGGUAUCUACAAGGCUAGUGAGGAUGCUACGACAUUGGCCUUCCUCAACCGGCUGGAAGCCUUGGAUGCCUUUGCUAAGAAGCACCUCGACCUCGCCACAAAAGCCGCCACUCCUUAGCCGCCGGUCGGUGGCCUGGCGCACUAAGUUGAGGAGGAGGAGGAGGUCGUACAUUCGUGGAUCCAUCUUUCUUCUUGCCUUCUGUAACCACCAUUGCGAUCGCGUCAUCGUGGCCUUAAUUCUUAUUGUGUUGUUGCAUUCUCGUUCCAGUAAAUACCGACAUGUGCGAUCCCUUUGCUUAAUUAUAUGCAUCACUGUAACUAGUACUCCAUCCGUCAAUUUAUAAGUUGUGCUUACCUUUUACAUCAACUUCGUGCAAUGCGCAGGCAUCUUGCUAGAAACACUACACUACAAAAAAAUACACUUCCGUGAUGAUACGUGUUUGUCACAGUAGGUCGCGUUUUUUGUCAUGUAUGUAUAUCCAUGAUGAUUUUAUGACAGAAUCAAGAUAGUCAUACUUGUGCUGUCGUAGAAGUGUUCCAUGAUAUUACCAAAAUUAUCAUCAUGGAAGUGUGCACUUCCAUGACGAUAAAUCGCGCGUCACAGAAGUGCUUUCGUCAAGGGUGACCGACACGUGGCAUCCACCGUAACGGAACGCUGUUAAGCUAUCGGGUCGGGUUUUGGAUCCGAUAACCCGUUAACAGCCCUGACCAAUGGGGAUUUUCCACGUGUAAAAUCAUCAUUGGCUGGAGGAAACACGUGUCGGCUCAUCGUUGGGAUAGAUGUCAUCCACUCAUUGGAUAGAAGGCGCCUAUGACACGUCGACACGUGGCACGGCCCAACAGAGGCCCAUUCCUGUGAAAAGGCCGGCCCGUUUGACUUGGUAAAAAGGUGCCUGGCCGGCCCAUGGAAAGCCUGUUAACGGCAUGUUCGCAUAUAGCCCAUUUACAGCCCGCUAACCCAAGGCCCAUUACGCCCUAUCCGAAUUAGGCCCAGUAGCGUCAUCUGGGCCAUCCAAUAUGAUUCCAGCCCAUUUUCACUUCUGGCCCAUGUAUGGCCCAUGACGUAUUUCGGCCCACAUGAGGCCCUAUGUAACUCUUGGCCUAUUAACGGCCCGUGGUGAAACUGGCCCGUAAUGAACAGUGUAUCACUUUACACCCAUUCACGGCCCAUGGUGAAACUGGCCCGUAAUGAACAGUGUAUCACUUUAUACCCAUUAACGGCCCGUUAUUCCGUUGGGCCGUUUCUAGCCCAUGUUAUCUUUCGGCCUUCUCAGAGCCCACUUAUUCUUGGGCUCAUUUCCAGCAUUCGUUUACUUACGGCCCGUUACUAUCAUUUUCUGCUUGUGGGCCAAAUUCAGCCCGUGGUUACAGUCGACCCGUUUGUGGUCCGUUAAUACGUUGGGCUGUUUUCAUAGCGUCAUCAAAUACGGCCUAUUAACAAUGGCCUGUUAUGGUCGGCCCAUGAACGAACGAUUCCAACUCUAGCCGUUUACAGCCAUAAUGCGGCCUGUUAUUGGCCCAUGUUUGGCCAAUCGAUCAUACGACCCGUAUAAGGCCCAUUGAUGAUACAGCCUGUAGAAGGCCCAUUGUUUCUACGCCGCGUAGAAAGCCCAUUGUUUCUACGGCCCGUAGAAGGCCUACUGUUUCUACAACCCAUCGAAGGCCCACUAUUUCUACGGCCCGUAGGAGGCCUAGUGUCACUCCAGUAAAUAUUAGCCCAUGGUUAUUGUGGCCUAUUUUUAAAAAACAGGUUAUUACAGCCACUAGCAAACCGCAGAAAAAGAACUGCACUGACUACAAGAAAACAAAUAAACAAGACAACAAGGAAAUUAAUAAGCAAGCAACUUAUGCUAGGCUAUCACGGCUAUUACACAUAUUACAUCCACUGGGCAUCAAAGUUUGCCACCAGUGCAAAUAUAGGGAACAAAGCAGCAUAUAAACGCCGCAGCAAAACAAGUCCAGAACUGAAACCACUUCAGAAGAGUUCAAGAAAUAAUAUUCUGGGUACCCAUAAUGCUGGCAAGAUGCUUAGCAAGCUUAUUAACUUUCUCUUGUUUGGCGCUUAAAUCCUCCAGCGCUUGCUGUUGCACAAGUAAGUACGCAUCUGAAUUCUGCAGGGCCUUCCUCAGUCCUUCGGCUUCUUGCCGCAGCACAGCUGAUUGAUGCCUUUCAUCUUGUAGCUGAGACUGAAGAACCCGAAGUGAUUCAGGCAGCGAGUUCGAAGAGCUUGUGCCAGCGGUACUGGCCAGUAACUCGAACACUACAUCAACGCAUAACUGUGGGGUUUUCUCACUGUCUACAAGAUCGUUUUUAUCACCUUUCUUGGAGACCAACAGGGAUGUCUCACUAUCUUGAACCUUAUUUACAUUAAUUUCUCUACCAUUGCAUAGUGGGGUGCUCUUCUCCAAUAUUCUGUUUGCGUACUACAAGAGAAACAAGCAGACACAUCACAUGUUUAGCUUGUAGUAUACGAAACUCAUUUUGGUAAACCGGUUCAGUAGUAAGGUGGACAGGAUAACAACAUGAAACAAACAUAUAUCUAUGUACUAUGGUCAUUGUAUUGUCCAUAUCAUUCUAGUUUAUGUUCCCUAAUCAAGAUAAAGACACAAUUCAACUCAUAUAUUUUUAAGACACAUCAACAUAGACAGAAUAUAAGUGUGAGAAACUACACAACAUUGGCAGCACUUGUAAUGCGCAUCACAUGAGAACAUAACUGUUUAUACAACUUAAACUGAAAUCAACAUAGAGCAAGAAGUUAGAACAGCAAUCCAGUUAAAGAAAUAGGUUUAAAACAUACCUGUUGCACCAUUGGAGUUUCAAUUGGAUCCUUCAAAUUCGAAAGUAGUUGGUAUGAGUAAAUACAAUGAUGCAACAGCAAAGGAGUAUGGACCACAGCUAUGGAAUCUGACCUGAGAACAAUUGCUCUUCUGCUUUAAACGUGGAGUUUGGGUUAGCUGUGGUGGUCUUCGUGCUUUGGGCACUGCAGUAGCUUUACAAACUGCUCGUGUGGGGGUACUCUGUGGUGGACAUGGUGCUUUGUCAACUAUAAGUGGGUUACUAUCCGCUGGGGUUGCGGUUAGAUGGGUUGUAGCUGGUUCUCUGCCCAACGGUGUAAGUGUGCAAUUUGGAAGAGUCUCGAUUAUGUGUGGUGGGGAUAGUUUGUGGGCCAGUACAACCAUGGUUCUAUCUGCAUCGACGGGUAGCAUCGUCUUUUGUGAAGAACGGGUUUUUGCUCCCUUAGAUACUGCCAUCACCCCCUCCAAUUCAAAUGGCUGAUAAACAAGAAAAGAAAUUGAACGUACAGACAUUGUAUGAUAGACAGAUGUGGUAAUUCACACAUAUGUUGUCUAACCAAACAGGACAGCAUGACACAGUUUCACAUAUAUGAUGCCUAACUAAAUAGGAUAGCAUGACACAGUUUCAGAUAUAUGAUGGAUAACUUAACAGGAUAUAAUGGCAUAAUUCAACAUAUGAUGAGUACCUAAACAGGAUGACAUGACAAAACUAUAUGAUGUCUUUCUAAAAUAGGUUGGGAUGAAAUAAUUCACAUACAUGUUGUCUAAGUAUACAGGAUGGCAUGAUAUAAUUGACAUAAUUGAUUCAUAUACUAAGCAACUGGCACUCGCAUGUAUGAUCUCUAAACUAAGAAGAUAGAAUUCAAUAUUGUGCAUAUGAUGUCUAAACUAAGCAAUGCAAGACACCAUAUGCAUCAUAUGAGAAAUAUAAACAUUGCAACUUAGAGCAUACACCUCAGGUGGGAUAUAGGACUGGUCAUCUGUCUCUGAAUCCUCCUCUGAGGAGCUCCCUAUAACCAUCGAGAUAUAUGCUUCAACAGGUACCAUUGCCUGCUCUGAAGACCUUGUUUUCAUUCCAGAUUUUUCCAUAACCGGCUCAAAUGGCUGAUACACAUGAAGAGUAGUUCAAUAUACACAGAUUGUCGACAAAUGGAAUACAUAAUGAAAAAAAAGAUGGCAUGAGAUAAUUCACAUAUAUGAUGCCUGGCUCCAUGGUGGUGCAUAAUUCACAUAUAUGAUAACUGGCUGAAAAACAUGGCAUUGCAUAAUUCACAUAUCUAAGAUAGAAAGCAAACAGGAGGCAUUCACACAAAGCAUGUCUAAUCUAAGCAGAUGACAUGGCAACGCAAGACACCAUAUGCAUGAUAUGAGCAAUAUAACCCAGCCAAGUUAGAGCAUGCACCUCGGGGGGGGGAUACGACUGGUCAUCUCUCUCUCUGAAUCCUCCUCUGAGGAGCUAUCUGUAACCAGCAAGAAAUCUGCAUCGACAGGUAGCACUGACUGCUCAGAAGACCUUGUUUUCACUCCGGAUUUUCCCAUGACCAACUCAAAUGGCUGAUGCAUGAGAAGAGUAGAUGAAUGUAUAAACAUUGUUGACAAAUAGAAUACAUUAUGGAAAAAAUAUGGCACGAUACAAUUCACAUAUACGAUGACUGGCUAAAUAGGAUGGCAUUGCAUGAUUCACGUAGAUGAUGCCUGGCUAAAGAAGAUGGCAUUGCAUAAUUCCCAUAUACUCCCUCCGUUCCUAAAUAUUUGUCUUUUUAGAGAUUUCAAAUGGACUACCACAUACGGAUGUAUAUAGACACAUUUUAGAGUGUAGAUUCACUCAUUUUGUUCCGUAUGUAGUCACUUGUUGAAAUCACUAAAAAGACAAAUAUUUAGGAAUGGUGGGAGUAUGAUAUAGAAACCAAACAGGUGGCAUUCACACAAAGCAAAUCUAAACUAAGCUGAUGACAUAUAAGAUGUAUAAUGUAAGCAAUGCAAGGCGCCAUAUGCAUGAUAUGACCAACAUCAGCAUGCCAGGUUAGAGCAAACACCUCAGGUGGUAAACAGGCGUGGUCGGCUCCUUCUAAAUCUCCAUCUGAACAGUUAUCUUCCUCUGGAAUACAAUCUGGAAAUGCAGGAGGGGGGGGGACCACUUCGCCCACCAUGGAGCAACGUCUGCAUGACAUUAUAUUCGCAUGCAAUAGUCUUCUCUUUUUCUCUACAUGUUCAGUACAAUUGUGUACAAUAUCUAACAUGCAUAAUAAAAAAAUAGUUAGAUUUUGUAAGGCCUAAGGGGUGCAUGCAAAAAUCAAGACUGAUGGUAGCAAACGAGUGGAUGGAUCCAAAACUAAUGAUAGCAGGUAGAUUAUAGCUUCAGUUUAAAAAGAUAGACAAUGGAUCAUUUAUUGUUUGUUGCCCACCCAACAUGAACCACAUAGAAGACCCCAGAUGAACCAGAUAGUAGACAUAUACUAUUCAUUGCUGGCUCGAUAUGAGACCCAUGGGCAAUUCAAAACUCAAUAUUGAACGAUAAAGUAGUAGGUAAUAAUAACCGAUGUAUAACGUAAGCAAACAGGAAAGACUGCAACCUCUCUUCCGAAACUUUGUAGUCCUCAGGUUCAUCUGCUCAAUCGAUGAUGGUAAUGCAGUUGGCGUGGCUGCCGGCAACGGGGAAGAUGAUUUGAGGCGGCGAAAGGAAGUCUGCAGGGGGAUCUCUGCUGCAGUGAACGCUUCUGUCGAUGGUGCACCUCAGGUGGGGUGGAUGACGACACGGCAGGAGCAUGACAUAACAUAUCGAGUUUUCUUUGACGCCUAUCUGAAAAUGAAGUAAAUCUGUAAGGGCUCCUUAGAAUUAGAGGAUUCUAUAAACGCAGGGAUAGGAAAAACACAGGAAUGUGAUAAGAAUGCACGUGCAAAACAGAGCAUUUGGAAACAUAGGAUUUUAGUCAACCUGGGUGUUCGGCUCACAUGAAUUGGAAGAACAGAGGAAUGGAGAAACAAAGUGAUGCGAUGAGUGUACAACCUCUUUGGCAUAGCCUUGUGGACCUCAGCAUCUUUGGGUUGGAGGUGGAGGAUGGUGAUGAUGCUGGUGUGACUGUCGGAGGCGGGGAAGAAGAUCCGAGGCCUCUAGAAACGGCGCUGAGGGUACUGCUCCGCUGUGAUGGACGGUUCCGUCGUUGGAGCAGCUCCACUAAGGUGUACGGCGACGAGGCUGAAGCAUGACAAGACAGACAACGUUAAUCUGAAGUGGGACCCUAAUAUCAUCUGCAAUAGAUGAUGUAAAAUACAUCACCAAAAAGUGCUAGAUGUAAAACGCAUCAGCCGCGCCACGGCCGCUCCGACGGAUGCUGUAAGUACUGUUCACUCUGAACUUAAAUGAAGAAAAUGAACUUCACAGUCAAAACUGAAUUUUACUAUCGAAACCGAUUGAACUAGUAACAGAGCAUUGCAAUAGAUGUUUAGGGCGUUUGACCACUAGUAGCAGAGAAGCAGUGAUCUAAAUCAGCAGAUGCUCAAGCAAGGAAUGCACUAGCAGAGAGCAAGUCAUGCAGUAGCACCGCGAGCGAGUGCUAAAGCAGCAACUCCUGUAGCUGCCGGAGGUCGUGCAGCAGAAGCAGCAGUAGCGCAAGCGAGAGCAAGAGCAGAGCAGCAGCACGAACGAAAGCAGGAGCAGUGCAGCAGCGCGAUUGACAGCAAGAACAGAGCCGCAAUGUGAGCGAGAGCCGGAGCAACUGCAACUAGUGUCGUUGUGGAAGUCGCCGCCGAGGAAGCAACGACAUGGGGGAGAGACGCCGUGGAUGAUGUGGCCGGCGACGGGGCCGUCGAUGGAGACACGCCAUGUCUGCUCGGUAUCGAGCACCGGCAGCCCCGUGAGAUCGAAUAAAAGAUAAAAUGCAGUGGUGAGUGUAGAACCUCCUUGGUGGCACCGAGUUGGCCUCGGCUUCAUCGGAGGAAUUGCUGAGGGUGUUGCGGUUCCGGUGGGGCAGGUCAAGACGACGCUGUGGGGAUUGAGGUGGCGCGAUAGACGAGGCGAACAUCGAGGCAGCUCCUUGGAGGUGGAGGACGGGGCGGCUGAUCCGGCGGGAUGACGAGAUCGACAAUGGAUCCUCAUCCAGUGCGGUGGAUGAGGGACGACGAGCUGUUGCGGUGGACGACAUAGUCGGGGAAGAGUCUCUGGCUGGGCGACGAUCGGGAGGCCUACGGAGGAGCGUGGGGUUUCGCGGGUUUUGACGGCCUCGGUGUACGNNNNNNNNNNNNNNNNNNNNNNNNNNNNNNNNNNNNNNNNNNNNNNNNNNNNNNNNNNNNNNNNNNNNNNNNNNNNNNNNNNNNNNNNNNNNNNNNNNNNNNNNNNNNNNNNNNNNNNNNNNNNNNNNNNNNNNNNNNNNNNNNNNNNNNNNNNNNNNNNNNNNNNNNNNNNNNNNNNNNNNNNNNNNNNNNNNNNNNNNNNNNNNNNNNNNNNNNNNNNNNNNNNNNNNNNNNNNNNNNNNNNNNNNNNNNNNNNNNNNNNNNNNNNNNNNNNNNNNNNNNNNNNNNNNNNNNNNNNNNNNNNNNNNNNNNNNNNNNNNNNNNNNNNNNNNNNNNNNNNNNNNNNNNNNNNNNNNNNNNNNNNNNNNNNNNNNNNNNNNNNNNNNNNNNNNNNNNNNNNNNNGGUAAUGGGGGGCCGAAGGGGGAGGGGGGAGCCAAGCUUAGGGACGCGCUUGUCCGAAAUGUAGGGUAAGUUACCAGCAUACCCCCAUCGAUUUUGACACCGUGACGUGGAGCUUCAUUUUCGGCUGAGGGGUAGAAGGGGGAUUUCGCGUGCCUAGGCUGCCGGAGCGAUUUUGGAUGAGGAGGGAGUUCUCGCGCACGUCCAAAUUUCGGGAUAACAAGGCGCGGCGCGGGUUGAAGAAGCGGGAGUUUCAAAGCAGGUGAGACAAAAGAUACUCGAGCUUGAAAAUUUCGGGAUAACAAGGUGCGGAUUCCUUGUUCGGCAGAACAAACUUAACGUGUAAAAAAAAUUCAUACAAGACAUAAGAGAGUCAUGUCCCCUUUUACUAUAUUGCUAUAGAUGCCAUUGAAAAAACUACAAGAAAAAUGUAAAAAAAAUCAGGAGAACAAGAUUACCCUGCACAGUACCAAAUCGAUUCGCACUUCCCUCAACAACAACAAAAAAUAAAUCAAUUCCCACCAAAGAAAGAGUAAUGUCCCUUUUUAUAUGAUUAUAGAUGCCAUGAUCUCGAAUUUCAAUUUUUGAAUCCAUGUUAUGUUGAAUUCGAAUAUAUCGUUAGGUGACCUUGCGGUUUAUAAUUGAUGUAGUCGUACAUUUUGAUCUUCCAUCAUAUAUGAACAUUUUACUCCACCAUGUGAACAUAUAUAUUGUCGUCUACCAUGUGGACUAAAUUUGAAUCAAUUUUCCUUAUUUGAAUACGAUUGUUGUCAAGUUAUACAAUAAUUUAAAUAUUAUCUUGAUAACAAAAAACAUACAUAUAGAAGUAAUCAUAUUUCACUAUGAACUACAUGUACCAUACACUCUCCAAUUCAAAUAUUUGUAUCCAUUUUAUGUUGAAUUCAAAUCAUAGUACAUUAUUGGUCUAGGUAGCGAGAUGUUUGGGAUAAUCUAAACCCUGUUUUCAUACGUAUAAUUUUUGGCUGAAUUGGGACAAGUUUUGGUAUAAGCCUCUUGUAAAACCAGAUAUUCUCUCAACAAGCCUCGUGGUUCCGAGAGGGAACGUGUCACCUUCGUGUGCGAAAUGAUAUACGCUGCCUCCCCCCUGAUUUUAUUAACAGAGGCAACAUAGAACUAUAUAAGUGCCUUGUUAAAUUUUGGAAUUAUUUCGGGUUCAUUUGACCUUUUUAUACAUUAAUUGAGUUUCUGGACUUUUAAUGUGCAUAAUCUAAAUAUGAAUUGCAUGCACAUGCUCCGGUGCACCAAAGUGGGUUGAAAAGUCACAUGUGUGUCCUUGGUUGAAUUUCUAGGUCCCAUGGAAGAAAUGAGAUUGAAAUUCAAACAUUUGGGCGUCAUGACUCGGCCGAGAACAUCGAGAAACUUUGAUUUUAAAUUCAUGUAAAUCCAAAACUCGCCUGGAAAUCAUGAAACUUGGCAUGGUGUCAUGUCAUGGCACUAACAUGUUGUUGUAAAAAAUUGGGCUGAUUUGGAAGCUCGUGGUUCUAAGAGGGAACGUGCCACCUUUGAGUGUGAAACGAUAUACGCUGCCCCCCUUGAGCUUCUUAACAAAGGCAACAUAGAACUACAUUAGUGCCCUAUUAAAUUUUGGAAUUAUUCCGGGUUCGUUUGUCGUUUUUUAAACAUUAAUUGAGUUUCUGGUCAUUUAAUGUGCAUAAGUCAAAUUUGAACUACAAGCACAUGCUCUCGUGCACCAAAGUUGGUUGAAAAAUCACAUUUGUGUCCUCGGGUGAAUUUCUAGGUCCCAUGCAAGAAAUGAGAAUAAAAUUAAAACAUCUCGGCAUCGUGGCUCGGCCGAGAACAUUGAGAAACUUGGUUUUAAAAUUCUUGUAAAUCCAAAACACGUCUGAAAAUCAUGAAACUUGGCAUGGAUGCAUGUCAUGGUACUACCAUGCUGUGGUAAAAAAAUUGGCCGAAUAGGAACAGAUUUUGGUCUAAGCUUUUGCAAACCGAAGCUUCUCUCAAGAAGGCUCGUGGUUCUAAGAGGGAACGUGCCACCUUUGAGUGCGAAACGAUAUACAUUGUCCCCCUUGAGUUUAUUUACAAAUGCAACAUAGAACUACAUGAGUGCCCUAUUAAAAUUUGGAAUUAUUCUGGCUUCGUUUGGCCUUAUUUACACAUUAAUUGAGUUUUUGGUCAUUUAAUGUGCAUAAUUCAAAUUUGAACUACAAGCACAUGCUCCCGUGCACCAAAGUUGGUUGAAAAAUCACAUUUGCGUCCUCGGGUGAAUUUCUACUCCCUCCUUCCAUCUAUAUAGGUCCUAAUGCGUUUUUCGAGGCUAACUUUGACCAAAUGUUAGAGCAAUAAUAUAUGACAUGCAACUUACACAAAGCAUACCUUCAAUUUUGUAUGUCAAAGGAGCUUCCAAUAAUAUAAUUUUCAUAGUAUACAUCUCAUGUGCUAUUAAUCUUGUCAAUAGUCAAAGGCUAUCUUGAAAAACACAUUAGGCCCUAUAUAGAUGGAAGGAGGGAGUAGGUCCCAUGCAAAAAAUGAGAAUAAAAUUCAAACAUCUGGGCAUCGUGGCUCGGUCAAGAACAUUGAGAAACUUGGUUUUAAAAUCAUGAAACUUGGCAUGGUGUCAUGUCAUGGUAGUACCAUGCCGUGGUCAAAAAAUUGGCCGAAUAGGAACAAAUUUUGGUAUAAGCUUCUUGCAAAUUGGAGCUUCUCUCAAGAAGGCUCGUGGUUCUGGGAGGGAACGUCUCACCUUUGUGUGCAUAAUUCAAAUUUGAAAUACAAGCACAUGUUCCAGUGCACCAAAGUUGGUUGAAAAAUCACAUGUGUGUCCUCGGGUAAAUUUUGAGGUUCCAUGCAAGAAAUGGGAAUGAAAUUCAAAAUUCUGGGCGUCGUGGCUGGGUUGGAAACAUUGAGAAACUUAGUUUUUUAAUUCCUGUAAAUCCAAAACACGCAUGAAAAUAAUGAAACUUGGCUUGGUGCCAUGACAUGGCACCAACAUGCUGUGGUAAAUUUGCAGUCCGAUUUGCAAAGGCGCACACAUUAACAAUCAACAAAGUCAUUUUGGAACAAGUGUUGUCAUGUUACAAUCGGAAACACAAGUAUUAUUGAAACCGUGGGCGUUCUACUUACUAGUACCAUUUACGUGCCGCCACGCGUCCCCAUUUUUAUUAGCUAGGAGGCGCCGUGUAGGGUAGCUAUUUGAUUACGAGAGGCGUGCGAUCAGACCCCUGCGCAUGCUUAUCGGGAGGAGAGCCCUUUGACCUCCAUCUGCCGUCCACCUCUCUCCCAAGGUCUCCAUUAACGGUGCCCGAGCCUCUGUUUAAUGGCGUGGCUACGUCUCACUCGACUGAGAUUCAAGAGAGAAAAAAGAAAAUCUGAAAGCAUGGAUCUUGAUGUAAGAUCCGACGGACCUAUAUAGCAUCUACUGCGACUUAUAGCAAGACUGAUGAAUAUAUAAUGAUGAUUAAUUUUUUUUGAUCAAAGAAGGGCUUGACCCUUCCGAUUUUCACUACCGAAAACCACCACAAUUCACAAGAAGUUCAGCACAACUCCAGCCUAACACGAAGGACUAAAAGCUACCAGGUUGAAAUCGCAACAUCCCAAGAGGCCAACAAAGGCCAAACAUCCGCGCUAGAACCCAAUAUUUCACAACCAACGACACAAUCCACAUCCUAAACCGAUUAUUACAUCAAAAGAAACCAGGAAACUAGUCUCCGCGGAGAGCGGCGAUGAGCUCUUUCGUGUCCUCACACUACAAGAAAUUGUUGGGGAAUGUAGCAAUAAUUCAAAAUUUUCCUACGUGUCACCAAGAUCAAUCUAGGAGAUUCUAGCAACGAGAGAGAGAGUGCAUCUUCAUACCCUUGAAGAUCGCUAAGCGGAAGCGUUCAAGAGAACGAGGUUGAUGGAGUCGUACUCGUCGUGAUCCAAAUCACCGAUGAUCCUAGUGCCGAACGGACGACACCUCCGCGUUCAACACAUGUACGGAAUGGAGGGAUGUCUCCUCCUUCUUGAUCCAGCAAGGGGAGAGGAGAGGUUGAUGGAGAUCCAGCAGCACGACGGCGUGGUGGUGGAAGUAGCAGGAUCCCGGCAGGGCUUCGCCAAGCACAAACGGGGAGGAAGAGGUUACACGGGAGGGAGGGAGGCGCCAGGGCUUCAGGUGUGGCUGCCCUCCCUCCCCUCCACUAUAUAUAGGGGCCUAGGGGGGGCGCCGGCCCCUUGUAGAUCCUAUCUAGGGAGGGGGCGGCAGCCCUAGGGGUGGCUUGGCCUCCAAGCCAAGUGGUGGCGCCCCCACCCCUUAGGGUUUCCAACCCUAGGCGCAUGGGAGGCCCAAGGGGGGCGCACUAGCUUACCAGGGGCUGGUUCCGACGUCCCUUCAGCCCAUGGGGCCCUCCGGGAUAGGUGGCCCCACCCGAUGGACCCCCGGGACCCUUUCGGUGGUCCCGGUACAAUACCGAUGACCCGCGAAACUUUCCCGGUGGCCGAAACUAGACUUCCUAUAUACAAAUUUUUAUCUCCGGACCAUUCAGGAACUGCUCCUGACGUCCGGGAUCUCAUCCGGGACUCCGAACAACUUUCGGUUUACCGCAUACUAAUAUCUCUACAACCCUAGCGUCACCGAACCUUAAGUGUGUAGACCCUACGGGUUCGGGAACCAUGCAGACAUGACCGAGACAACUCUCCGGUUAAUAACCAAUAGCAGGAUCUAGAUACCCAUGUUGGAUCCCACAUGCUCCACGAUGAUCUCAUCGGAUGAACCACGAUGUCAAGGAUUCAAUCAAUCCCGUAUACAAUUCCCUUUUUCUAUCGGUACGAUACUUGCCUGAGAUUCGAUCGUCGGUAUCCCGAUACCUCGUUCAAUCUCGUUACCGGCAAGUCUCUUUACUCGUUCCGUAACACAUCAUCCCGUGAUCAACUCCUUGGUCACAUUGUGCACAUUAUGAUGAUGUCCUACCGAGUGGGCCCAGAGAUACCUCUCCGUUACAUGGAGUGACAAAUCCCAGUCUCGAUUCGUGCCAACCCAACAGAAACUUUCGGAGAUACCCGUAGUGCACCUUUAUAGCCACCCAGUUACGUUGUGACAUUUGGUACACCCAAAGCAUUCCUACGGUAUCCGGGAGUUGCACAAUCUCAUGGUCUAAGGAAAUGAUACUUGACAUUAGAAAAGCUUUAGCAUACGAACUACACGAUCUUGUGCUAGGCUUAGGAUUGGGUCUUGUCCAUCACCUCAUUCUCCUAAUGAUGUGAUCCCGUCAUCAACGACAUCCAAUGUCCAUGGUCAGGAAACCGUAACCAUCUAUUGAUCAACGAGCUAGUCAACUAGAGGCUUACUAGGGACAUGGUGUUGUCUAUGUAUCCACACAUGUAUCUGAGUUUCCUAUCAAUACAAUUCUAGCAUGGAUAAUAAAAGAUUAUCAUGAACAAGGAAAUAUAAUAAUAACUAAUUUAUUAUUGCCUCUAGGGCAUAUUUCCAACAGUCUCCCACUUGCACUAGAGUCAAUAAUCCAGUUCACGUCGCUAUGUGAUUAACACUCAAGGUCACAUCCCCAUGUGACUGACACCCAAGGAGUUUACUAGAGUCAAUAAUCUAGUUCACAUUACCAUGUGAUUAACACUCAAUGAGUUUUGGGUUUGAUCAUGUUAUGCUUGUGAGAGAUGUUAUAGUCAACGGGUCUGAACCUUUCAGAUCCGUGUGUGCUUUACAAAUCUCUAUGUCAUCUUGUAGAUGCAGCUACCACGCUCUAUUUGGAGCUAUUCCAAAUAACUGUUCUACUAUAUGAAUCUGGUUUACUACUCAGAAUGAUCCAGAUUAGUGUCAAAGAUUGCAUCGACGUAACCCUUUACGACGAACUCUUUUACCACCUCCAUAAUCGAGAAAAUUCCUUAGUCCACUAGUUACUAAGGAUAACCUUGACCGUUGUCCUAUGAUCCAUUCCUAGAUCACACUUGUACCCCUUGACUGACUCAUGGCUUGGCACACUUUAGGUGUGGUACACAACAUAGCAUACUUUAGAGCCUACGUCUAAAGCAUAGGGGAUGACCUUCGUCCUUUCUCUCUAUUCUGCCGUGGUCAGGUCUUGAGUUUUACUCAAUACUCAUACCUUAUAACACAACCAAGAACUCCUUCUUUGCUGAUCUAUUUUUGAACUCCUUCAAAAUUUUGUCAUGAAAGUACUAUUAAGCGAUUUUGAUCUAUCCUUAUAGAUCUUGAUGCUCAAUGUUCAAGUAGCUUAAUCCAGGUUUUCCAUUGAAAAACACUUUUCAAAUAACCCUAUGUGCUUUCCAGAAACUCUACAUCAUUUUUGAUCAACAACAUAUACUCAUCAGAAAUUCUAUAGUGCUCCCACUCACUUCUUUGGAAAUACAAGUUUCUCAUAAACUUUGUAUAAACCCAAAAUCUUUGAUCAUCUCAUCAAAGCGUACAUUCCAACUCCGAGAUGCUUACUCCAGUCCUUAGAAGGGUUGCUGGAGCUUUGCAUACUUGUUAGCAUCUUUCAGGAUUGACAAAACCUUCUGGAUGUAUCACAUACAACCUUUCCUCAAGAAAAACAUCGAGGAAACAAUGUUUUGACAUCCUAUCUGCAAGAUUUCAUAAAUAAUGCAGUAACUGCUAACACAAUUCCAACAGACUCUUAGCAUCGCUACGAGUGAGAAAGUCUCAUCGUAGUCAACUCCUUGAACUUGUCGGGAAACAUCUUAACGACAAGUUGAGCUUUCUUAAUGGUGACACUUAUCAUCAUUGCCCGUCUUCCUUUUAAAAUCCAUCUGCACCCAACAACCUUACGACCAUCAAGUAGUUAUUUCAAAGUCUAUACUUUGUUUUAUACAUGGAUCCUUUCUCGGAUUUUAUGGCCUCGAGCCAUUCGUCGGAAUCUGGGCCCACCAUCGCUUCUCCAUAGCUCGUAGGUUCAUUGUUUUCUAGCAACAUGACUUCCAAGACAGGAUUACGUACCACUCUGAAGUUAUACACAUCCUUGUCGACCUAUGAGGUUUGGUAGUGACUUGAUCUGAAGUUUCAUGAUUACUAUCAUAAGCUUCCACUUCAAUUGGUGUAGGUGCCACAGGAACAACUUCAUGUGCCCUGCUACACACUAGUUGAAGUGACGGUUCAAUAACCUCAUCAAGUCUCCACCAUCCUCCCACUCAAUUCUUUUGAGAGAAACUUUUCCUCGAGAAAGGACUCAUUUCUAGAAACAAUCACUCUUGCUUCCAGAUCUGAAAUAGGAGGUACACCCAACUAUUUUUGGGUAUUCUAUGAAGAUGCAUUUAUCCGCUUUGGCUUCGAGUUUAUGAGCCUGAAACCUUUUCACAUAAGCGUCGCAGCCCCAAACUUUUAAGAAACGAUAGCUUAGGUUUUUCUAAACCAUAGUUCAUACGGUGUCAUCUCAACGGAAUUGUGUGGUGCCCUAUUUAAAGUGAAUGUGGUUGUCUCUAAUGCCUAACCCAUAAACGAUAGUGGUAAUUCGAUAAGAGACAUCAUGGUAUGCACCAUAUCCAAUGGGGUGCAGUUACGAUGUUCGGACACACCAUCACACUAUGGUGUUCCAUGUGGUAUUAGUUGUGAAACAAUUUCCACAAUGUCUUAAUUAUGUGCCAAACUCGUAACUCAGAUAUUCAUCGCUAUGAUCAUAUCAUAGACAUUUCAUCAUCUUGUCACGACGAUCUUCAACUUCACUCUGAAAUUACUUGAACCUUUCAAUAAUUCAGACUUGUGUUUCAUCAAGUAAAUAUACUUAGCAUCUACUCAAAUCAUCUAUGAAGUAAGAACAUAACGAUAUCCACUGCGUGCCUCAGCACUCAUUGGACUGCACACAUCAAAAUGUAUUACUUCCAACAAGUUGCUUUCUUGUUCCAUCUUACUAAAAACGAGGCCUUUCAGUCAUCUUGCCCAUGUGGUAUGAUUUGCAUGUCUCAAGUGAUUCAAAAUCAAGUGAGUCCAAACGAUCCAUCUGUAUGGAGUUUCUUCAUGCAUAUCUACCAAUAGACAUGGUUCACAUGUCUCAAUCUUUUCAAAAACGAGUGAGUCCAAAGAUCCAUCAACGUGGAGCUUCUUCAUGCGUUUUAUACCAUCAUGACUCAAAUGGCAGUGCCACAAGUAUGUGGUACUAUCAUUACUAUCUUAUAUCUUUUGGCAUGAACAUGUGUAUCACUAUGAUCGAGAUUCAAUAAGCCAUUUAUUUUAGGUGCAAGACCAUUGAAGGUAUUAUUCAAGUAAAUAGAGUAACCAUUAUUCUCCUUAAAUGAAUAACCGUAUGGCGAUAAACAUAAUCCAAUCAUGUCUAUGCUCAACGCAAACACCAAAUAACAAUUAUUUAGGUUUAACACCAAUCUCGAUGGUAGAGGGAGCGUGUGAUGUUUGAUCACAUCAACCUUGGAAACACUUCCAACAUAUCGUCAUCUCACCUUUAGCUAGUCUCUGUAGCCUUUUAUUUCGAGUUACUAACACUUAGCAUCCGAACCGAUAUUUAUUACCCUGGUGCUACUAGGAGUACUAGUAAAGUACACAAUAAUAUAAUGUAUAUUCAAAAUACUUCUAUCGACCUUGCCAGCCUUCUCAUCUACCAAGUAUCUAGGGUAGUUCUGCUUCAGUGACCGUUCCCCUCAUUAUAGAAGCACUUAGUCUCGGGUUUGGUUCAACCUUGGGUUUCUUCACUAGAGCAGCAACUGUUUUGCCGUCUCAUGAAGUAUCCCUUCUUCCCCUUGCCCUUCUUGAAACUAGUGGUUUUACUAAACAUCAACAAUUGAUGCUCCUACUUGAUUUCUACUUUCACGGUGUCAAACAUCGCGAAUUGCUCAAGGAUCAUCAUGUCUAUCCCUGAUAUGUUAUAGUUCAUCACUAAGCUCUAAUAGCUUGGUGGCAGUGACUAUGGAGAACUAUCACUAUCUCAUCUGGAAGAUUAACUCCCACUCGAUUCAAGCGAUUGUAGUACUCAGACAAUCUGAGCAUAGGCUCAACGAUUGAGCUUUACUCCCUGUUUGAAGGCUUAAGAAACUUGUCAGAGGUCUCAUACCUCUUGACGUGGGCAUUAGUCUGAAAUCCCAAUUUCAGUCUUUGGAACAUCUCAUAUGUUCUACGACGUUUGAAAAUGUCUUUGGUGCCACAAUUCUAAACUGUUAGUAUUACGCACCGAACUAUCACGUAGUCAUCAAAACGUGUAUGUCAGAUGUUUCCCAACAUCUACAGACGAUGCUCGAGGUUCAACACACUGAGCGGUGCAUUAAGGACAUAGCUAGCCCUUCUGUGCAGCAAUGAGGACAAUCCUCAGUUCACGGACCCAGUCCGCAUAAUUGCUACUGUCAACUGUCAACUAAAUUUUCUCUAGGAACAUAUCUAAAAUAGUAGAACCAAAGCGUGAGCUACGACAUAAUUUGCAAAGACCUUUUGACUAUGUUCAUGAUAAUUAAGUUCAUCUAAUCAAAUUAUUCAAUGAACUCCCACUUAGAUAGACAUCCCUCUAGUCAUCUAAGUGAUACAUGAUCCGAGUCAACUAGGCCUUGUCCGAUCAUCACGUGAGACAUACUAGUCAUCAUCGGUGAACAUCUUCAUGUUGAUCGUAUCCACUAUAUGACUCAUGUUCGACCUUUCGGUCUUCCGUGUUCCGAGGCCAUGUCUGUACAUGCUAGGCUCGUCAAGUUAACCUAAGUGUAUUGCAUGUGUAAAUCUGGCUUACACCCGUUGUAUGCGAACGUUAGAACCUAUCACACCCAAUCAUCACGUGGUGCUUCGGAACAACGGACCUUAGCAAUGGUGCAUAGUUAGGGGGAACACAAUCCUUGAUAUUUUAAUGAGGGAUCAUCUUAUUUAUGCUACCGUUGUUCUAAGCAAAUAAGAUGUAAAAACAUGACAAACAUCACAUGCAAAUCAUAAAGUGACAUGAUAUGGCCAAUAUCAUCUUGCGCCUUUGAUCUCCAUCUUCGAGGCGCGGCAUGAUCACCUUCGUCACCAGCAUGACACCAUGAUCUCCAUCAUUGUGUCUUCAUGAAGUUGCCUCGUCAACUAUUACUUCUACUACUAUGGCUAACGGUUAGCAAUAAAGUAAAUUAAUUACAUGACGUUUAUGUUGACACGCAGGUCAUAAAUAAAUUAAGACAACUCCUAUGGCUCCUGCCGGUUGUCAUACUCAUCGACAUGCAAGUCGUGAUUCCUAUUACAAGAACAUGAUCAAUCUCAUACAUCACAUAUAUCAUUCAUCACAUCCUUUUGGCCAUAUCACAUCACAAAGGAAACCCUGUAAAAACAAGUUAGACAUCCUCUAAUUGUUGUUGCAUGUUUUACGUGGCUGGUAUGGGUUUCUAGAAAGAACGUUUCUUACCUACGCAAAACCACAACGGUGAUAUGCCAAUUGCUAUUUACCCUUCAUAAGGACCCUUUUCAUCAAAUCCGAUCCGACUAAAGUGGGAGAGACAGACACCCGCCAGCCACCUUAUGCAUCAAGUGCAUGUCAGUCGGUGGAACCAGUCUCACGUAAGUGUACGUGUAAGAUCGGUCCGGGCCGCUUCAUCCCACAAUGCCGCUGAAUCAAGAUAAUACUAGUAACGACAAGCAAAUUGAACAAAUCAUCGCCCACAACUACUUUGUGUUCUACUCGUGCAUAGAAUCUACGCAUAGACCUAGCUCUGAUACCAUUGUUGGGGAACGUAGCAAUAAUUCAAGAUUUUCCUAUGUGUCACCAAGAUCAAUCUAGGAGAUACUAGCAACGAGAGAGAGAGAGAGUGCAUCUUCAUACCCUUGAAGAUCGCUAAGCGGAAGCGUUGAAGAGAACGGGGUUGAUGGAGUCGUACUCGUCGUGAUCCAAAUCACCGAUGAUCCUAGUGCCGAACGGACGACACCUACGCGUUCAACACACGUACGGAACGGAGAGACGUCUCCUCCUUCUUGAUCCAGCAAGGGGAGAGGAGAGGUUGAUGGAGAUCCAGCAGCACGACAGCGUGGUGGUGGAAGUAGCGGGAUCCCGGCAGGGCUUCGCCAAGCACAAGCGGGGAGGAAGAGGUGUCACAGGAGGGAGGGAGGCGCCAGGGCUUCAGGUGUGGCUGCCCUCCCUCCCAUCCACUUUUUAUAUAGGGGCCUAGGGGGGUGGGGGCGCCGGCCCCUUGUAGAUCCCAUCUAGGGAGGGGGGCGACAGCCCUAGGGGUGGCUUGGCCUCCAAGCCAAGUGGAGGCGCCCCCACCCCUUAGGGUUUCCAACCCUAGGCGCAUGGGAGGCCCAAGGGGGGCGCACCAGCCCACCAGGGGCUGGUUCCCACGUCCCUUCAGCCCAUGGGGCCCUCCGGGAUAGGUGGCCCCACCCGAUGGACCCCCGGGACCCUUCCGGUGGUCCCGGUACAAUACCGAUGUCCCCGAAACUUUCCCAGUGGCCGAAACUGGACUUCCUAUAUACAAAUAUUUACCUCCGGACCAUUCCGGAACUCCUCGUGACGUCCGGGAUCUCAUCCGGGACUCCGAACAACUUUCCGUUUACCGCAUACUAAUAUCUCUACGGGUUCGGGAACCAUGCAGACAUGAUCGAGACAACUCUCCGGUCAAUAACCAACAGCGGGAUCUAGAUACCCAUGUUGGCUCCCACAUGCUCCACGAUGAUCUCAUCGGAUGAACCACGAUGUCAAGGAUUCAAUCAAUCCCGUAUACAAUUCCCUUUGUCUAUCGGUAUGAUACUUGCCCGAGAUUCGAUCGUCGGUAUCCCGAUACCUCGUUCAAUCUCGUUACCGGCAAGUCUCUUUACUCGUUCCGUAACACAUCAUCCCGUGAUCAACUCCUUGGUCACAUUGUGCACAUUAUGAUGAUGUCCUACCGAGUGGGCCCAAAGAUACCUCUCCAUUACACGGAGUGACAAAUCCCAGUCUCCAUUCAUGCCAACCCAACAGAAACUUUCGGAGAUACCCACAGUGCACCUUUAUAGCCACCCAGUUAUGUUGUGACGUUUGGUACACCCAAAGCAUUCCUAUGGUAUCCGGGAGUUGCACAAUCUCAUGGUCUAAGGAAAUGAUACUUGACAUUAGAAAAGCUUUAGCAUACGAACUACAUGAUCUUGUGCUAGGCUUAGCAUUGGGUCUUGUCCAUCACAUCAUUCUCCUAAUGAUGUGAUCCCAUCAUCAACGACAUCCAAUGUCCAUGGUCAGGAAACCGUAACCAUCUAUUGAUCAACGAGCUAGUCAACUAGAGGCUUACUACGGACAUGGUGUUGUCUAUGUAUCCACACAUGUAUCUGAGUUUCCUAUCAAUACAAUUCUAGCAUGGAUAAUAAACGAUUAUCAUGAACAAGGAAAUAUAAUAAUAACUAAUUUAUUAUUGCCUCUAGGGCAUAUUUCCAACAGAAAUAUGUCAACUAGUGACCUUCUGUCAGUGACCCUGGAAGAAUUGGUCAUAGAUCUAUGACCAUUUUAGACCAAUUGGUCAAAAGCUGUUCGGGGGGCUCCAAACCCUAAACUAUAACAACCAUUUUGUCAGAAAGGUCGUAAUUUCCUUACACGAAAUGGUCAUAAAGCAGAUAGCACUGGUCUGCUGCCUUAUUUCUAGCUGAUCAUGACCAAUAUAGAUGGUCAUAACCUUGUAAAUUGUGGUGGGUUGCUAUGACUAGGCGCCACCUCAUCAGUUUUGCUUAUGUGUCAUGUCCAUGUGGCAGUUUUUGCCCUAGGUUGUGAAGCAACCUAUAUUUCUGUCAUUCCCAAAAUUCCCAAAAAAAUCUCAUAAAUUCUUUGGGUCAUAUCUUCGUCAAAUAUGUAAAAGACCUUCUUGCCUAGUUCAAAAAUAAUUCAAAAAUAUUCAUUUUCCUACUCUAUUCAGAACAACAGUUUGUGAAGGAAGUACCACUUUGGCAUGUCCAAAUAGUAUCCAUUUUAUAUAGUUCUUUCCUAUGCCCAAAUAACCAUCCUCCACCAAAUGCAAGCUCAAUCCAUUCAUUAUUUUGAGCUGAGCUUCAACAUUCGUAUUUAUGUCCAGUGUGGUAGUUUGCAAAGCAAGUACCACCUAGGCUCCUCCUUUUGAGCUGAAAUUUUUUGAAGACGGUCUUCUUAGUAACUGAUCAUCCUCAGCCAAAACUCACGCCCAUUAGCCAUGUGCAUUUCCCGUACCGCUAAUCAAACACUUGGCUGCUUAUUCAUGUUUGAGCAUUGAUCGGUCUCCUCGUGAGAAUUUUAUGUUGUGAUUUUAUUCCUAGCACCUACCUGUGGAGCGCCCAACCCACUAGACAUGCCUAGGCCGCCCAGAACACAUGGCAACGCCACGGUCACGCGGUGACCACGCGGCGGGCAUGCGAGUUUACGCGCUCUAGAGUUGGGGCCCUCAGCCACCAUCCAAACCUCGAUGUAUCGCCACCAAACCAUGUAUUUAUGAUUAAAUAGGUACUUAUAUAACUAGAAAUGAUUUUUGGAAAAAAUAAAUAGCAAACUAUGAGGCAGCUGCAGUUCAAAUUUGACCCGCUUCCUACUAAAUCGGCGGGAAUUUGUCUUUUUCACCAGAGGUGGAUCAAAACUUUUCACACCCAACCAUUUUGUCAAUUGUGAAUUAAAUAUGGCCUAGUAUUUUAGAAAAUUGAUUUGGUCCAAUUUUGCAACAAAUAUAUGGUAGGUCCUUCACAAAAAAACUCAUUUCGGGCACUCAGAAAAUGGAAAAAGAAUUUUCCGUGCACAGAAAAUGAAAACUCCCUUAGGCAACAUUGUUUGGAAUUCCAAGAUGCACCCUUGUGCACAAUAUGAUAUCAUUUGAACAAACUAUGCCAUGAAUGUGGCCAUAAGAUUGAUCAUUUGGCUUGAAAGCCAUGAAUCUUCACGCAUGACAGCUCAUUUCUAAGAACACUUUUUUAAAAUAAUUUCCAUAUUACAAGUUUAUUAUUUUUCCUGGAAACUUGGUCAUAUAUAAUGACACAAUACGAAGGUUUUCCAAUUUUUUGAAUUUUUUUUGAAAUUCUUAUGCCUGUUUCAAAAUGCGGUCAGAACGGCGGGCUUGACUGUUCCUAGCUAGUGGUUGAAUCUUGGAAAACUUUUGAUGUUUCUCUGAUUAAAUAGAUACUUAUGUACCUAGAAAUGAUUUUUGGAAAAAAUAAAGAGGAAACUAUGAGGCAGCCACAGUUCAAAUUUGACUCGCUUCCUACUGAAUCAGCGGUAAUUUGUCUUUUUCACCAGAGGUGGAUCAAAACUUUUGACACCCAAGCAUUUUGUCAAUUGUGCAUUAAAUAUGGCCUAGUAUUUUAGAAAAUUGAUUUGGUCCAAUUUUGCCACAAAUAUAUGAUAGGUCCUUCACAAAAAAAACCCAUUUCGGGCACUCGGAAAAUGGAAAAUGAAUUUUCCGUGCAAAGAAAAUGAAAACACCCUUAGGCAACAUUGUUUGGAAUUCAAAGAUGCACCCUUGCGCACAAUAUGAGAUUAUUUGAAAAAACUAUGCCAUGAAUGUGGCCAUAAGAUUGAUCAUUUGGCUUGAAAGCAAUGAAUCUUCACGCAUGACAGCUCAUUUCUGAGAACACUUUUUUAAAAUAAUUUCCAUAUUACAAGUUUAUUAUUUUUCCUGGAAACUUGGUCACAUAUAAUGACACAAUGCGAAGGUUUUCCAAAUUUUUGAAUUUUUUUGAAUUUUUUAUGCUCGUUUCAAAAUGUGGUCAAAACGGCGGGCUUCACAGUUCCUAGCUAGUUGUUGAAUCUUGGAAAACUUUUGAUGUUUCUCUGAUUGAAUAGAUACUUAUGUACCUAGAAAUAAUUUUUGGAAAAAAUAAAGAGGAAACAAUGAGGCAGCCACAGUUCAAAUUUGACCCGCUUCCUGCUGAAUCGACGGUAAUUUAUCUUUUUCACCAGAGGUGGAUCAAAACUUUUGACACCCAACCAUUUUGUCAAUUGUGCAUUAAAUAUGGCCUAGUAUUUUAGAAAAUUGAUUUGGUCCAAUUUUGCAACAAAUAUAUGGUAGGCCUUUCACAACAAAAACUCAUUUCGGGCACUCGGAAAAUGGAAAAUGAAUUUUCCGUGCACAGAAAAUGAAAACUCCCUUAGGCAACAUUGUUUGGAAUUCCAAGAUGCACCCUUGUGCACAAUAUGAGAUCAUUUGAACAAACUAUGCGAUGAAUGUGGCCAUAAGAUUGAUCAUUUGGCUUGAAAGCCAUGAAUCUUCACGCAUGACAGCUCAUUUCUGAGAACACUUUUUAAAAUAAUUUCCAUAUUACAAGUUUAUUAUUUUUCCUGGAAACUUGGUCACAUAUAAUGACACAAUGCGAAGGUUUUCCAGUUUUUUGAAUUUCUUUGAAUUUUUUAUGCCCGUUUCAAAAUGCGGUCAAAACGGUGGGCUUGACCGUUCCUAGCUAGUGGUUGAAUCUUGGAAAACUUUUGAUGUUUCUCUGAUUAAAUAGAUACUUAUGUACCUAGAAAUUAUUUUUGGAAAAAAUAAAGAGGAAACUAUGAGGCAGCCACAGUUCAAAUUUGACCCGCUUCCUGCUGAAUCGACGGUAAUUUGUCUUUUUCACUAGAGGUGGAUCAAAACUUUUGACACCCAACCAUUUUGUCAAUUGUGCAUUAAAUAUGGCCUAGUAUUUUAGAAAAUUUAUUUGGUCCAAUUUUGCAACAAAUAUAUGGUAGGCCCUUCAUAAAAAAACUCAUUUCUGGCACUCGGAAAUGGAAAAUGAAUUUUCCACGCACAGAAAAUGAAAACUCCCUUAGGCAACAUUGUUUGUAAUUCCAAGAUGCACCCUUGUGCACAAUAUGAGAUCAUUUGAACAAACUAUGCCAUGAAUGUGGCCAUAAGAUUGAUCAUUUGGCUUGAAAGCCAUGAAUCUUCACGCAUGACAGCUCAUUUCUGAGAACACUUUUUAAAAUAAUUUCCAUAUUACAAGUUUAUUAUUUUGCCUGGAAACUUGGUCACAUAUAAUGACACAAUGCGAAGGUUUUCCAGUUUUUUGAAUUUCUUUGAAUUUUUUAUGCCCGUUUCAAAAUGCGGUCAAAACGGUGGGCUUGACCGUUCCUAGUUAGUGGUUGAAUCUUGGAAAACUUUUGAUGUUUCUCUGAUUAAAUAGAUACUUAUGUACCUAGAAAUUAUUUUUGGAAAAAAUAAAGAGGAAACUAUGAGGCAGCCACAGUUCAAAUUUGACCCGUUUCCUGCUGAAUCGACGGUAAUUUGUCUUUUUCACUAGAGGUGGAUCAAAACUUUUAACACCCAACCAUUUUCUCAAUUGUGCAUUAAAUAUGGCCUAGUAUUUUAGAAAAUUGAUUUGGUCCAAUUUUGCAACAAAUAUAUGGUAGGCCCUUCAUAAAAAAACUCAUUUCUGGCACUCGGAAAUGGAAAAUGAAUUUUCCGCGCACAGAAAAUGAAAACUCCCUUAGGCAACAUUGUUUGGAAUUCCAAGAUGCACCCUUGUGCACAAUAUGAGAUCAUUUGAACAAACUGUGCCAUGAAUGUGGCCAUAAGAUUGAUCAUUUGGCUUGAAAGCCAUGAAUCUUCACGCAUGACAGCUCAUUUCUGAGAACACUUUUUAAAGUAAUUUCCAUAUUACAAGUUUAUUAUUUUUCCUGGAAACUUGGUCACAUAUAAUGACACAAUGCGAAGGUUUUCCUAUUUUUUGAAUUCUUUUGACUUUUUUUAUGCCCGUUUCAAAAUGCGGUCAAAACGGCGGGCUUGACCGUUCCUAGCUAGUGGUUGAAUCUUGGAAAACUUUUGAUGUUUCUCUGAUUAAAUAGAUACUUAUGUACCUAGAAAUUAUUUUUGGAAAAAAUAAAUAGGAAACUAUGAGGCAGCCAUUGUUCAAAUUUGACCCGCUUCAUACUGAAUCGACGGUAAUUUGUCUUUUUCACCAGAGGUGGAUAAAAGCUUUUGAAACCCAACCAUUUGAUCAAUUGUGCAUUAAAUAUGGCCUAGUAUUUUAGAAAAUUUAUUUGGUCCAAUUUUGCAACAAUUAUUUGGUAGGCCCUUCACAAUUAAACCCAUUUUGGGCACUCGAAAAAUGAAAAAUUGAGUCUUCAUCUAAAGAAAAUGAAAACUUUCUUAGGCAACAUUGUUUGGCAUUUGAAGAUGAACUCCUGUGCACAAUAUGAGAUCAAUAUUUGUUUUUUUCAUGUGAAAAUGUAGAAGAAAAACAAAAGAAAAAACAC